GCAAAUGCAAGAUACUAUUUAAUCCACAAAAUAAUAAAAAAAAGAAUUAGAGACAAAAUCUGGCACAUGACGAAAACGUGAAUCGUAAUAAAAAGGGUCUUGUUUGCAACACACGAAGGGGUAUUGCUCAAAUUUCGCUUGAACGAAUGUAAGAAAUAUGAGAAUCCAUCAGAUACAUAAUAAAAAUUGAAAUAAUAUUAUUAAACAACAACUAUAGGAUUUUUCAAACCCUUAACACAUAUUUAAAGCGUCAAAACAAAAUCUUAAUUCUGUAGAUAAAUUCGAAUUGAAUUAGAAAACUGUAAAAACAACAAAAAUAUCCUUAAAUUAACUCAAAGCAGAAAAAACACUGAAAUAGACUCCUAAAUGAUGAAAUUUGAAUCCGAAAGUUUGGCCGACAUCGUCCCUCAACAAAACUAUAGAGAACCGAAAAACACUUUGGAAUUGUACUCGUUCAUGUAAAUCUAGCACUCAAUCUAAAAGUUCUGCGCGUUUUCAUAUAUCCUUCUCAUUUCUCCUAUUUUUCAACUAAUUUAUGAUUUCCUCUUCUAAUUGUUCUACAUCAAACUCACUUCCUAUACUUUUGCAUGCUAGCACACCAUUAUUUCAUGAAUAUCUCUAAAUAUAAAUAAGCUAUAAAUAUGAAAAACAAGAAGUUCAUUAAUCAGAAACUAAUCCCCUUGAAAAUGUCGACCAAAUAGCAAAGUAGAAGAGCCAUGGAUGUUGAUCCACUCAAUAUUAUAAGAGCCACCACUCCCAAAACCAAGCCUGGCCUGCUAUCCAUCAGCAAAUUUUGCAGCAACCCUACUGCUUCAAUUACAUCUGAAUCAUAAUUCACGUACCAUUUCUUCUCCCACUCCAUCCAAUUCUCCGGUGGCGAGUGACUUUCCUCGGCCAUCUUCAGAUCAUGUAUUCUCAUUCUAAGAACAAUCAUGUUUUCAUCAACCAAUCUUCCUUUCUUAUGCCCUUUAUUAUGGCUUGCAUCGUUUUUCAUUGCAAAAACUGGACUGUAAACUCUUUCUCGUCGACCGGGAGAUGGUUUUUUAGGCAUGAAAUUGCCUGAAAAUGGAAGUGAGCNNNNNNNNNNNNNNNNNNNNNNNNNNNNNNNNNNNNNNNNNNNNNNNNNNNNNNNNNNNNNNNNNNNNNNNNNNNNUAAAGUAUUUUCGAAAUAAAAAGCUCUUUUGAAAUUUAAUUUACGAAAAAAAUUUAGUAUAGUUUCCUCCAAAAACUAUUCUUCUACCGAAAGAAAAAGCAAAAAUCAUGUCAAAUGAGCCCUAAAUAAUACAGUCAAUAAAAAGUUUAAUAUUUGCACAUUUAAUUGACUUUAUGAUUCCAUUCUAUAUCACUUGUUAGAUUACAGGUAAAUAAUCCUCGGUUUGUACGAAUAACUCAUAUUUGGUUUAAUUAAAACUAAAAUUUUCAAUACAUUUUGAUAAAAGUUGAUGAAAUUAGUAGAUAAAAUCUGUGACAUCAUGAAAUAUAUAGUUAAAAUAAACUUUUGGCUCCGACUUUAAUUUUUUGAUCGGUUAACUUCAAUUUUUUUUCAAAAUUUCAAACCACACCAAACAGGGACAUUGCAUUUUCCAACAGUAUUAUAGAAAGAAAGUUCAUUGGAAGAAAAUCGUUGGCUUUUUGGCUUUUAUCUUUGUCUAUUACAUAGAUAAAUAGAUACAAAGUACUUAGAAGAAAACAAUCAAAAUAUAUUUUGAAUGUAAUCGUCCUUUAUGAUAUUGUGCGUGUUUAUUAAAUAGGAAAAGCAAACGCGGGAUGAUCCAUACGAUAACAUUUGUCCCGCUCGCUCAACUUUUUAAUUUUGUCUUGAGCGAUUUUGUUUCUGUUCAUUUAACUUUUAAUAUUAUUGUUAUAUAGUUUAAAUGUAAAUUAAUUUAAAAUCUUAAAAAUUCAACUAAAAUAAUAAGAGGAAAAGUAUAAACAAACUCCUUAUCCCGUUCCCUACGCUCAAAGUGCUUGCCAUCUUAGUGGGAUAAACAAAGAACGUACAAAAAUAUUAUAUUCAUUGUAUGAUGAUACGUUAAGCAAUAGUUUUACUUUUUAGACUGCGAUAAGAUUAACAUUAUUUGUAUCUAAGGAGUUACAGAAAAUUUUACAUAUAGAUGAUGUGUCAAGAAGAGAUCGGAAAAGAUUAUUGUUAUCGUUAUUAUUUUUAUUUUUUUAAAAGAAAUUUUGAUUUAAUCAUAUCUCACUAUUUAUGUACUAUAUGUAAUAAAUUGUUAUAUGCAUCUAACUAGAGUUGGGCAAAUCUCCCGAACCGAACCCGACGGUUCUUGUCAAAUUAAAUACCCGAACGGGUAUCUGAAUUAAGAAUUGAUGGGUACGGUUCGAUUCUCGGUUCUAAACUAAGAACCGAAGAACUAAAUAAGAAUUGAAUCUUUUUAAUUUUUUUUAUAUCGAAUAAAUCUAAUUAUUUUAAUUUUAAUUUUUUAAAACUAAUUAACAAAUUAACAAUUUCUAAAUCCAAAUUUUUGGCACAAUUACCUAAUUUAUUAUUUCAUUUCUUAGCCCAACAAAGAUCGAACCCACUAAAUAACCCUAAAUACCUACACUAAAGUGCAUAACGCUGUCUCGACUCUCGUACUCACUCUCGCAGCAUCGCUGACAUUCCAAAACCUAUACAAUCGUCGGUUGACACUGUGACCUCCAAUAGAAGCUGUGACAUCCACCGAUCGAAACUUCGACUGUAGCGAUUAUUUAAACAAGGUAGUCUACUAGUCUCCGACAUUCAAAAACCAUUGAAUGUGUCAUUAGUUGUAUUUAUAUAAUGUUAUUAUAAAUGUUAAAAAAUUUAAUUAUAGUACGGAACCGAACCGAACGGUUCCAUAAUUAUAUUUGAACCCGAUGGUUCCAUUUACUAGAUACUCAAAAAUUUUGGUUCAGUUCGAUUCUCUUUAUAACUGAACCGAACCAAUCCGUGCCUACCUUUACAUCUAACACAAUCGUAUUUGAGGUUUUGACGAUACAAGAACCGAAUCAAAUGAAAACAAAGAAAGAGUUUAAAUUAAUUCCAGAAUUAAAAAACAAUUUAAAAUCCGAGGGUGAUGAGAUUAUUUUAAAGCAUGAUUGGGCAUCUUUUCUAGCAAUCAUAAACUCAUUCGAGACUUUUGGAUGUCGUGUGACAGCAAAUAAUAAAACAUUAAAUUAAAAGUUCCCUUUAUUUAAUAAACAAAUUCUUUACAAAGAUUAUUUAAAUCAAUAUUGUCUGUGAUGAAAACCUGGAAUCAGACUCAGAGCCCAACCGACUUUCCUUUUUCUUUAAUCCAAAAACCAAUAGAUUAUGCGUACUGCUCAGAAGCAAGACCCAUAGAAAUGUUCGCCAAUGCAGCGAUUAAAACAGCAAAAUUACGCAGCUUCGCCAAGAAAUUGCAUUCCCCUACCCCAAAUUAAAAUAUUAUUCAUUACAAAAAUAGAAAAUAUAACAUUGUAUGUCAAACAUGCCUAUAAUGUCUUAUGUAUAAACAAGCACCAAGAUUAUUUUUAUAUAAAUAUUUGAGAUAUAAUAAAGUUUUUUGUACAAAGCAACGUUGGAUGUGAUUAAAAAAAUAAUCAACAAGCACGCAAUUUUGCAUUUAGUCCUUUUUUUAACCUUCCCAGAAGAAUGUGCAUAUAUGAUUUCUUGAAAUGGAAGAACGGACUUUACAAUACAGCAAUGUAAAACAGAAAAUUCUACAUCAAAUGGCCAAUUUUUAUGUCGAGAAUUAUUUAUUAAUAAAAAUAGGUAUUACAGCCAUGGUAAAUAGCUCUACCAAAUUAUUGUAUUUUACGGUAUUUCCGACACAUUAAUAUACCAUGAAGGAAUGCCCAAGUUCAGGAUUUUAGUUACAACAUCCACCAAUUUUCUCACUAUUCUUGAAAAACGGAAAAUAGAUCAUUAGCUGAGAAAAAGACAUGACCUCCAUUUAUUGCACAAGCAUCUCCUUUGGAUUAGCACCUGUAUGAGAUAAAUAAUAGAAAGUGGCACAAUCUCUAUUAACAUCAUCAGCUGUCCAAGUAAUUACAAACCUUCAAGGUUAAACAGACUAAGUGGAUCAGAUGGAGGAGAAGAGUCAAGCUGCUGGUUGGGUUUACCUUGCUCAAGAAGGGGAGAUUCAGGAUGCUCGUAUGGUUCUGCAGGAUCAGUUUCAAGAGGCUCAAGCUUUGUAGUUGUUUGUAUUUGAUCACCAGGUGGCGGCUCAAGUUGCUGGUACUUGGGUUUAUUUUUCUCCAGGAGAAGGAAAGUAGUGUAAUACCAAAACAAAAGUAUUCUACUUUGAGCUAUCACUGUAUCUCUUAUCCGACUGCCUCCAAAUGAAAGCCGUUCAAGUGCCUGAAAAUGGGAAUGCCCGCAAAAGAAAGAAAAAAUUGGAUAAAAUGUAGUAGUAAAACAUUUGUAGGAGAAGAAAUAAAAAUACAAAGUCCUACGCUGGCCAUUAGUUAUAUAAAUAUAUGGAAGGAAAUGAUUAAUCCAUAUUUAAUGGAAUUUGAUUAAGAGUUCCUGUAUUUCAUAGGACAGUUGAGGGAAGUUAAUGGAAUUUGAUUAAGUGUUCUUGUAUUUCUUAGGACAGUUGAGGAAAGAUUAACACCAACUGUGACAAUCAAGAGUUAAAAUCCUGAAGUCUACAUCCUCACGCAAGCUCAAGGUGGUAGAAUUGAAACCAAGCGAAGAUUGGAUGGUAAAAAUGUACUAAUAUAGGUCAACAUUUCCCUUGAACUCUGAAUUUUGAAAAAGAAACAAGAUGAUAUUUGAAAUGUAAAUCAUGGAAUCUAGACUGCAUCAGUCUUGAAGAGAGUUGAAUAAUAUAGCUAAUGAUGAGAGGACCACUCGUCAAACACCACUCUUGUUUGCUCAUCAUCAAGUUCCAAGUUUGCUACUGCCCUGAUGAAGAGCCUUCCUCCGAUCGCCAAGACAAAGGUAGCUACAAGCAGAACUCAUUUAAGGAGAAAACGUUAUCCUCUCAAAUCCGAUGCAAAGACAAAGUAUGUUAAGACAAAGCUUGUUGCUAAGCCUGAACCCACUAAAGAAGGUAAUGCUAGCAACUAAGAAAGCUUCGCAGAAGGUGUAGGCAAUUUGGAAGAAGGCAGCAACUGAGGCUAAUUUGCUGGUGAGACCAUUUUGAGUCAAAAAAGAACUAAAAGAACACAUACACGUACACCAAGUCUUACGCCAUCAAGAGGCUAGUAGAAGAAAAAGUGCCCGCGGAGGCCAGAGGAAAGAGGACCUAAAACAGCAUUUCUCUAUAAGGCAAAAGGAGAGCCAAGAGAGAACCGAGGCACAUCGCUUGGUCAAGCAACAAGAACUACAGUCGGAUGGUGGUCAAGCAGGGAACCUAGUGGGUAGUAAGGGACUACCACCCACGGACCAGCAGUAAUGCAAAUACAGAGAAUAUGCAAGAAGGCAGUUGAGCAACCAAAAAAAAAAAAAAAAAAAGGAAUAAAAAAAGAAUCUUCUAUGUUUAAUUAGCCGAAACGGAAGAAAAAUGAGAUCCCCAUGCAGGUCACAGAAGUUGGAUACCAACCGGAAAGUGAUACAAAGAAUAAAUGAAUCAACAUAAUGCAAUAUCACAACUCUUUAGCUAACGAAAUUAAACUCUUGCACCGUAACAAGAAAAUGAUAAGAUGUAAAAUAGAAUGUAUAUAGUCUUCACUCACUUGUUCACCAGAUUGUAUAUCAAAUGAGUGCUGAUGAUCAAAUUGAAGGCCAGUAAAUUCGUUUAUGCAAAGCCCUUGAAAUCCCCUGAAAGUAACAGCAAAUAUAAAAUCUACUUUUUAUGCAAUUUUCCAAGGGGAAGGAGAGGAUUGAUCUCUCCUCCACUCAAAUCAAUGGAAACCACAAAGCAUUUGCAAAAUAACUAUGAAUAGAAUUACCAUCUUAUGAGAGAAAUGCGGGGAAUCCACCGAAAAAUGAUUGGCGUGUUCUCUGCAUUGACAUAGUAGCCUCCAAAUACAAUGAAAACUGUCAUAAGAGACGGUCCUAAGGCCAAUAUUGCUUCAGUGGUUGGAACCAUAGCUCCCACAGUUAGGCCCAUUGCAGAUACAGCAAAGGACUCGACGGUUACUAUUCCACAAAACCUCCUAAAUCUAUAAAGCCAAACUUUUUAGUUAGUUUUCAGAAAAUACUGUGCAACUGAUCCAAGCAAUUAUUCUCUAUGCAAUGUGUAAUGGCAAACCAUUUUACUUAUUAAAAAAUCAAAAAAUAAUGGCAUAAGAUUUUACUUAAAAAGAAGUGGAACAGUGUCAACAAAAUUCAGCUGUUGCAUCAUACCUCGAUUAAUGAAAUUGAAAAGUUCAAAGUUGUGUACUUGCUUUGUACCGUAUCCAGUUAGUUGUUAUAAUGAGACAAUGUCAAUGGUCUUUCUGGAGUGUGUAAAUGAUUAUCACCAUGCACAUUACCUUCUGUUUUCACAAAUUCAAAUUAAUUCUCUAUGGAACUUAAGGUUAUGUAUCAUCUUGCCUACAAUUAAGAAAUUAAGAACAGAACCUAAACAAGUUUUAUGAUGAUUAUCAAACCGAUAAUUAAUUACCAAAAAAUAAUACAACAAUUCUAACUGCAGGAUCCUCAUCAACUAGAGAGAUCACUGAGUGAGAUUCAUUCUUUUUAUGUUAACCCCUGCAUUCAGAACCUAAACAAGUUUUAUGAUGAUUAUCAAACCGAUAAUUAAUUACCAAAAAAGAAUACAACAAUUCUAACUGCAGGAUCCUCAUCAACUAGAGAGAUCACUGAGUGAGAUUCAUUCUUUUUAUGUUAACCCCUGCAUCUUUGGCUAUGCAACAAAUAGAACAUGUAUAGAAAUAUGCUAUGCUUUGUGAUAACAAAAGCAUGAAGCUAUACAUAGUCCAAAAAAUUUAGAAGAUUUCACUUCAGGUCAAAACUUUGGGUUUCAGGGAGAUUGUGUAUUAUCUCCAUUCAAUCAAGAGGGAUAUCUUCCUCACAACAGCAUGCUCCAUCUCAUAAUAGGGAGAUACUAUGUCAAUUUGCCUCCAAGGUAUCAUUCAAGGUCAGCAAACUUAUAAGACAAUAUGGUUAAAUAUAAGAGAAACCAACCUUGACAUGGUAGGAUGAAGACGAGCCAUGGGGUACAAAAUGGUACCAAACAGCAAUGGGAAUGCUGCUCCAACGGGAAUCUCAGCUAACAAUUUUGAGAGUAGAUAUGGUCCCAGUGAAUAGGACCCCUUGGCUCUCUCCCUGUCGACAAUUGCACGUUCCUUAGGGAAGACACUUACAGUCUUUGUAAGUGCAGCCAUUGCAGUGUUUAUGGCAGCAACCUGAAGGAUAGGGCAAUAUAAACCCAAUGCAUAAGAGACACCUAAUUGAAGACUCAAACAUCCUUUAUCCUAGUAUACCUCAUAUGAAGUUGUAUGGUGAUCAAAGCUAUACUCAUAUACUUAUUUCUGUCCUUCAUUUAGCAGGAAGAACAGUUCUUUGAAAAUUGACCCUAUUUAAUUGCAUGUGUGAACAUGAAAACUAAAGAUCAAGAACAUUCUAUGGGCUUUAUAAUUACACUAUUCAUUUUGCAACUCAUAAGAUAUAAAUUAUGGAAAAGACUUAAAAGAAGUUUGAAGGAUAUGUGGGUUAUAACUGGAUGUAAUAUCCAAGUAGAAUUAACAAAUUAUAACACCCAACUUUAAAAACCACGAAAAUUCACAUUCAUGACCUUGUGGGUAGGACAUUCAUAGCAUAUAUACAGAAGUGUAUUUAAAAACCCCUCAUAGGGCAUAGAUAUCUCUUUUCAAAAAGCCUCAAGUUCCAAGAAGAAGACAUGAUGAUGUGGUUUUAAAAAAAAUUAAAAAUUAACAAACAACAAACACAAUAGAAAUUGUUAAAGAUCAACAACUUCAAAAUCCAGACCCUGACUUCAAAGAAAAUGGUCUUUUUGCUCUUAUGUACUCUAUUUGUUCAGUAUGUCUAUAUUUGAAAGAAUUAUCUAAGAAGUGAUACUCACUUCUAUUGCAUGCAUGAAUCUAGAUUACAGGGGAGAGAAAAAGGAUGGUUGUAAAUGAAAAAUGAAAAUCUAAGAUUCAUAAGAGCAUUCAUAGUCCGGCAUAAACAAAAACGUGAGUUGAAGUUCCAUCAACAGAGUUUGAGUUUCAAUGAAAGCAACAAGAACACUAGAAGUUACUCCAGCAAUGCCAGAAAUAAUUAUUCAAACAAAUAUUUGGUAUUGUGGAAUUGUGCCAUUGGAUAAGAAUAUCCUUUGCAAUAACUUAGGUCCCCAUAACAUUUAGUUGUAUUCAAUUAGUCAGAAAAAAUUGUACGUCAGUGGGGCUAGAUAUAUAUUAAUAGGGUACUUGCGAUGGGAAUGUACAAAAUUGAAAGGGGGUGAUGCCCAGACCUCUUCUCAAUUGUACUGAAAAUAUAUGCUGAUAUUAGACUAAAUUGCAACCAGAAUAAAUAACCUUAGCACAUUUUUCAGAAAAGACAAGUUAAGAUUGCACACAAGCCGAAGUAAAUGUCAUACCUGAAGCAAUCCCAUUCUAUCUUGUAUUGAUGUCUGUGAUCUACCCAUCCUCCAGAAGACAGAACCAAAUAUGAGAGCUGAUGCAAUUGACAUUCUUGCUCGAACCUUGUUUGUUGGGCCGUCUCGAGAAGCCUUUUAUUGAUGGGCAAGUAUCAACCAAAUAGGGCAAGCAUAACAAUUAAACGAACACAAAAUAUCCAGUCAAAUAAUGAGUUCUAAUCAUAUGCAGAAAGGGAGGUUGACCGUCUGAUAAGCAAUUCCACAACAGCCUAUGAGAAUCUACAAUGUCAGCCAUUUGCAGCUAUUAGAUUGUUUUAAAUGUUCACUAUUGACUUAAUUCAUCAGGAUCAUGAUAGAAAGGAAAAAUAAGAAGUGGAAAGUCGGCAUGAAUGUUAUUUAAAAUUCAGCUAGAAACCCAAGCACCAUCCUCUUUCACGUAAGAAAGAAAAGAAAGGUGUCCUCUCCAGCAGGGAGGAACUAACUAUUAAAAUAGAUGUGUCAGUAGUAAAACACAAGUAAAGAUAUGCAAUAUUUUGGACUGCACAAUCCUGUUUGCUGAACAUUUUAUUUCCCAUGCAGCAUAAAUAAAAAAUCCAGCAAAUACUACUGUCCAUAUAUUCUAAUCACAGUAUGCCAGAGCCCUAUUACAAGUUUGUCUAUUCCUGUACAAAAUGAGUUCACUCAUUUCUAUUAUCCUUUCACUUAGCCCCUGUUUGGCUUGGAUUAAAAUCAAAUUAAAAUCUCAAGUCAAAGUCAACACUUAAAUUUAACAAUAGAUUUCAUAGGAUCCAUAAUUUUUCAACCACACAUUUCAUUAACUUUUAUCAAAGUCUAAUAAAAAUCUGAUUUUAAUCUACGUCAAACAGUAGCUUAUUCUGGCAAUAUAUUAUGGAGAUUCAUUUUCCAUUUGACUGCUUUUCCAUGCAAGUUUACACAACAUGACCUUAGAGUCCCUCAAAUGAAAGGUUCUAAUAAACUGCAGAAUUCUUCAAGUAAAGAGAUUAUGGGUUCCACCUGCAUCCAUGCGCGUUUAAGAAGUAGCCAGAACUGCCUCCACCAACCAACUUUCUUUUUAACGACAGUUCUCUUCCUUGAGUUUAUGUUGUUCUUAAGAUCCUCCCUGGUAAGUGGAGUUGCAUAUAGAGUUAAUGAUGUCUGCUCAGCAAAUGACUCAACGAGACCAUCUAUCCUUUUCUGAGAAGCAUUGACACUCUCGGCAGAAGUAUAGUCUACUGAUAUAAGAUCAGCCAAAAAUUCAGCGGGAUUUACAUGAUCUGGACAAAUGUACCUGUCAUUUAUUUAUUGACUUGAUCAGUACUCAUUUAACAGGAUGAAGUAGCAAACCCAUUAACAUAAAAAGGUGUAUGUGAGUGAUAGAAUAUUCAAGUGAAAAUAAGUUAAAUAAGGAUACUUUAACAUGCCGUAUGCCAACAACAUAUCAAUAAAAACAUGACAUCAUUCGGCACAGAGAACAGUUUAAAUUGUAUACUAGUGCCUAUUCUGUCAAUGUCGUUUAUCUUGGAAAGAGUCAAAUGUAAAUUGUCUCCAUUUAGGAAAACUAACAAUAAUACUUUUAUUAGUAAAUGAUUAACCAUACGCCUAUUAAUAUAUAAUGCACACUAAAAACAACCUAUAUGUUUUUGACACAGUGCAAGCCUGUAAUUAUAUCUCAAAGAGAACUUCUUUGUGCCACUAUCAGAUGACCACAUUUGAUAUAAGGAUUACCAAAAGCGUAGAAGGAUUCAUCAACAACGCAUGUGAGCCACUCUAUCUUGUAGAAACCAAGAAAGCUUGACAGUGGGAAACUUGGUUCUUCCUAGAACUCACAAGAACCAUCAAGCUGAUUCUUACAGAAUACAAUAUGUAGAUGAUGUGGUAAAAAAUAUGAUGGACGUUUAAAUGUACUAGAAUACAAUAUUAAGGAGCAUGAAAAGAAGUGGAUUGUUUUAUUUAUAUAUAUUAUCACAAAAGCUUAAUAGAUGAAAAUGGAGAAACAUAACAGGAAAAAUUCAGGUAAGUCAUAUGCAAGAAGGUUGUUAUGCCCAAACUGCACUCAAAAAUCCUACUCAUAACCUCCUUUUAUAUACAAGUAAUUGGACACACACACAUAUAUGCAGUUAAUCCCAUAUUUCACAUGGAAUAACAGCAACCUGAACAAUGUGGACCUUGUAUGCUAAGUAUACAUUAAAGGGCAUCCCAUAACUCACCCAAAUUUUGAAAAGUAAACCAAUACUUCAUCACGUGCAGGACCAGCAUAAACGAGUGCGCCUUCUGUCAGUAACACAAUGUCAUCAAAUUUUUCAUAAACCGAACUUCUAGGCUGGUGUAUAGAGCAAAUCACAGUGUGCCCAUCCUGUGCAAGUUGUCGUAAGUUUUCCAUCACUUUCUCUGCCUGGAAGGCAUCAAGUCCUGAAAGCAUCAUUUUUACAAGUAAUCAGCACAAAUUAAACAUUACUGCAUUAUUAAUCUGUCAUGAGAAGGGGGGGAAAAACAAAGAGUAAUGUGAGAAUAACAAGGAAAGAAGGGAGUUAAAUGUCGCAAUGUGGAAAUCUAACUACUGCAGAUAUGUUUCAAAACAUGGUAAUUAGUUCUAAUUAACAGGGUCUGCAAGGUAUUAAACAGGUUUAGGGGAAGCAUUAGCUAGAUCAGUUAACUGUUACAGCUAAUUUCUGCCAUAAAUUUAAGAAUAUAGUUAUGAAGUUGAGGAUUUAGACAAGCCUGAAUCAUUGAUUAGGAAAUGAUGUUCCAAAGAAAGAGGUAAAAGAAGAAAUGCACACCGUUUGAUUGAUAUUACAAGACAGAAGGAGCAUGAGGGGUAAAGUUACAAUGAUGUGCGAACUGCACAACAAAUCAUGCACAUACUCAAGAAAGUUACAUGUCCAUGUUGGACAUUGACACUCUUUAGACACUAUACAAUAGCGGACCCCUUGAUUUGUGCAAGAAAUUUAAAAAAAAGAAAAAAAAUUAUAUAAGUGAAGUGCAAAUAAUUAGUUAGUCAAAUUUCCACUAGGAUUAGAUAAAGAGAAAGGAUAGGAGUUCACAAAAUUAGCCUGAGUCACUUCGUCCUAACUUCAAGUUUCACCACAUGAUGUGCUCAGGUUAGACCUUGAAACUACAAAAUCAAAACAAAAGUGAAAAGCCAAAGUAACAUAAAAGAAACAGAUCAAGCUCAAUUCAGCAUGCUAUUUUAAGCUUGAAUAGCCCUAAUCUUGGUUAACAAGGUUCUGAGGCUCGAUACUGUUCAGAACUCAAAAUAUUCCAAUACAGUUCUCUUUACAGAGAUUUACAGACAAAGACGAUCAUGAUGUUUAGGUCAGUAAGUUUCGUAGGGGUAAUCAUACAUCUGUAUUCAUAUAAUAUGCACUUAUUUCAUCAUUUGAACAUUCUGUAUGCGUACACUUCACAAUGCAUACAAUCUUUGAAAGAGCUGUUUGCACAAACUACUUCUCCCUACAUCAGCUACUAGUUAAAGACUUAUUUCUAAAACAUCCUUUAACGUAAAAUGAAAUUGGUUUGCACAGUCUAUGAAAAAAUCUGAAAUUUUGAAUUAGAUGAAACUAAAAAGAAAGAGAUGAAAUAUCACGUACCAGUCGUAGGUUCGUCAGCAAAAAUGACAGAAGGACUAGCAAUCAGCUCACAUGCAAGUGACAAUCUUUUCUUUUCACCACCACUGAUUCCACGCACUUUUGCAUCCCCAACAUGCGAAUCAGCGCAACUGACCUUUAAGAGAAAUGACGAAAAUGCAAGAAAAGGAAAAGAAAUGAACAGGAGCUAUAGCUUUUACUUUAAGUGAGGUAGUUUGCUUUCAAUAAUACAGGUGGCAGAAACUGAUUUGGACUGAAAGGGCUAAAGUCAUUCUGCAUUAAUGCAUUAUGAGCGUGUCUUACUCUUGAUCUGAAAGCAACAAUAAUAACUUUUGUCAUACCAAAUCCUACGUGGCAUCUCGAGGCAACAAUAAUAUCUUUUGUCAUACCAAAUCCUACGUGGCAUCUCGAGGCCUAACAACCAGACAUGAUAGGUAAAAUUAUGCACAGAAAAGAAAGAAAUCUAAAGGUAAUAUAUAAGUCCUCAAAACGAUUGAAGGGAGUCAGCCGGCACUAUCAAGCUCAAUACCAUUGCCUAACAUGCUAGAAAGGUCCUAGCUUGUAUCGUGCAGUGCGUAAAGGACAAAAAAAAUCUUGGACAUAGAAGUCAGAUUGGUAGAUAUUUCUCAGAUUGGCAUUCAUUGUUGAAACUGAUAUGGGUCAGAAGCCUACCAAACAUGAAAAACAGGUAUAGCACGUCCAAACUCACAAAAUGCGACAGUUUGCCUGCUACAAGAAUUGAAGGACCAUGCAGUUGCAAAAGUGUGGCUCUUCUAACUCACUAGACUAUAAAUACAAAGCCAUCACUCUAUACAAGGUAAGAGAAAUGUAAAAAUCUAUUAAACUUUGAAUCGUUUCUGCCUCUUCUACAAUAACUCACAUAAAAGCGGAGUGAUAUCACCUACCGCCUCUUAAAGGUAUAUCCCACAUUCUUUAAAUAUGAAACAAUUAUCAACUCCACUUAACAAGGUCGACCUUUUAAAUUGAAAUCCAAAGGCAAUAUUGUUUCGGACCCUAAAAAGCUCAAAUGCGUAAUUUGAUCCGUAUAAAAUCUCAAAUGAGUAAAUGAAUUCCAAGAUUGAUAUUCUCAAACGAGUCUAAUGGAUGCUACUUAUUUUAACAAAAUUGAAAUUUUAAGCUGGAACCCCAAGACUUAAUGUCCCCAACUUCUGAUGGUUGUAGAUUGUCGACAAGUUUAAGCACUUGCAAGUUGACUGUAUAUGCUUAGUGAAUUCAAAUGUCAAGAUCACUAAUGCCUCGUGUAUUUGAAUUAGACUUAACAGUAAAUUUCGUAUAUAAUGGCAAGAAUCAUAGUCAAUAAAUCAACAGGAAUUUUUUUUAAGUAACAACAAAUGGAAGAUGGAUGGAAACCUGAACAUAAUGUCCAGCGUUUCUAAAUUUGAAAGCAAAAUCAUCUCACACAAAUGAAAUUUGAAAAAAAAUAAAGGCAAUCUUACAAGGCCUAGUUUCAAAAGGAGAUCAGUCACAUAUUCGUCUCUCUCUUCCACUGAAGAUAUUUCCUGCAGCUGGAGUUCAGCUGCAAGAGAAAGUGUUUCUCGAACAGUCAACUGUGAAAAGAAAAGAUCUUCCUGCCUUACAUAGGCAAACCUGCAACAGACAGCUUAUUCAUCAUUCAAAAACCUCAAAUUCCCCAAAAUUAAACUUGUACAAGAGAAGUCAAUCAUGAGAAGCCUCCAAAAGGUUGUAAGCCGCAUGAUAUAGUAGUUUUCACAUACUUGUAAGCUUUGUUUGAGAAUGGUUGCCCAUUAACCUCUAAAAGGCCAGACAAAUGCAAUCUUGGUGAUGCCACUAUCUGACCUGCCAGAACAUUGAGCAGAGUUGUCUUCCCUGACCCAGAUGGUCCCAUAAUUGCAAGUAAUCUACCAGGUUUUGCUUCUCCACUAACAUUUUGCAGCAAAAAUCGCACCUAAAAAUCGAAACGACGACCUAAAUUUCCAUUUACUGCCAUAAAAUACUCAAUGAAAUAGAAUCUAAUUCUUAAAGCCUCGCUUUUCAGAUAGAUGAAACUGUAAAAACAAAAACAUUACCCUUAAGACUUACAUCUAAAUGUUUUCAAAAGAGGAAAAACGUGACAAAAUUUCAGAGUGAAUUGCAUCCAAAUAUAAAUUUUUAUAAAUCUAUGUCUACAAGUUCCACCCAAAAUUAAUUUGUACGUUCUGUAAUAUUAUAAUGCUAUAUUAUUUAUAUAAUUCAUAUUUUCUCAAUUUGGAAUCAUUUAAUUGUAAAUCAUUUUUGAUUGAAUUUAACCAAAAUCAGUCAGAAUAAUCCAGCCAUUCAAUCAGAAUUUUCACCUUCUACUUUAUUACAAUAUUCAAUUUUUCUUUUUCUUAUUUCCCUCUCUUCCAAAUUCCAAAUGCACCACGCUUUUCAACUUUAUAACAUUUAUUGACCUCAGGACCAAUAACUAAACCAAGAAAAACACUUGAUUUCCACCACAAUCAAAUAAGCUUUAAUCUUAUACUGCUACUUACAGUUCCAAUAAAUAAAAAUUGCAUGAUAUAUGCACUUAAUAAGUUAUAUUAUGCAUACUCACUGAUUUGGAGGAUUUGUCGGAGAGUGAACAGUUGAUGUUAGUCCACUUAAUAGUGACCGGCGAAACUUUUCCUUUGACCGGAGCUUCACGGUCUCCUUCCUCGUCGUCGGGGACAUUCUCGGGAAGAAUUUCUGGUCCGGGAGCAGAGAAAAGGCGGAGCAGUAGCGCCGCCGCGACUGCCGCCAGCAGCUGACCAACUCCUCCGCCUCCUUUCCCGCCAAUUCUCAGCAUUUUCCUAUUUAUGUUUGUCUAAUUCUGGUUAGCUAUAUUGUGCAAAGAGCAGGGCAAGGUGGGUGCAUACGACGCCGUGUCACUGGAAUUUGCGUAACCCUAUGUAGCCUCCAACUUCAUGGUAGGAAAAUGGCUAGCAAGGAGACUGAUAGGUUUGAUGAACACGUGUCGCAGCACGAAGAAGAUAAGAUUUUCCUUUUGAGUUUUUGCCCGUUGGAGAAAUUAGCGUCUCUCGGAGCCACACGUUACGUAAACUGGAGUUUGCACCUCGCACCCCCAACCCAUCGGGGGGCUGCGUGCAAUAAAUUAAAAUUAGCAUCUAGAUUCGAAAAUAAGGUAAUACUAUAUGUGCAAAACGGUAUACAUAAAGGUUUAUAUUAUGUACAAACUAAAAUGUACAAGUAUCAUUUCCCAUGAAAAGAAACCAAUUCUUGAAUAAAGAAAUAAGCCUGUUUAACAAUAAAUAUUUGAGAAAAAUAAUGUUUUGAAUAAUAAUUUUUAGAAAAAUAUAUGAUUAAAAAGUAGGAAAAAAUUUAAAUUUACGUGCAAAAUAUUUUAUUUUGUAAAUGUGUGGUUGAAAAUAAUUAAAUAGAAGAAAAAAGAGAAUUUUCAAUUGAGGUUAAGCCUCUGUUUGUCACUCAUUAUUUGAGAAAUUAAAGAAUUUUGAAUAGUAUUUUUCGAAAAUGAGAGGUUAAAAAAUAAAGAAACUUUAUUAGUUUAUGUGUAGAAUAUUAUAUUUUGUGAAUGUGUGAUGAAUAAUUAUACUGUAAUAAAUAAUUUAUAAUUUUAAAGGUGGUCAAACAGACACUAAAUAUAUAUAGGAAUUUAUAUGGAAAAAUAAUAAUUUAAAUUUAGGUUAGAUACAUUCGUACCAGAUUUUUUAAUAGCUAGGCUAUAUUUUAAUUGCAUGAAAAAUUCACAAUCUUUAUACGUUAUCAUAUUUAUGUCCCAAAAAUUUUUCAUGACAUUCUUAUUCUUAAAUUAAUAUAAUUGGUCGUAAUUAUGAUUUCUUUCCAAAAUUUUCUUUAUGAUAGAGUUAAAAAAAAAACAUUAAUUUUCUAUUAUAUUUUUGAAUAAGCAAAACAAUAAUACUACAAAAAUAUGAUUAAAUAUUUGACACUUAUUUAAAGUACAUUAACAAUAUUUUUGGAAGAAAACUAUAACUAAGGAUAAUAUUUUUUUUUUAUUAAUGAAAUGUUAAAAAUAAAAAAAUGAUCGAAAAAAGUUAAGGAUAUAGGUGUGAUAAUGAAAUAAAAGUUAAUGACCUUUAAUAUAAUUAAAAUGUGGUGUGUUUAUUAAAAAAAAAUGUAGUGUGAAUAUAAUUCCCUUAAAUUUAUUAUCAGUAUAUUUUUUUUUCAUGAAUAAUAAUCCCCUAAAUACAAAAUGAUAUUCUUAAAUUGUAUAUACAUACUUCAAAAUAUAGAUUGUCACAAUCAUGUAACUAGGAGUUACAAUCAUAUAACAUAUAUAUUACAAUCACACAAUGUAUUAGGAUAAGCUCACAUUUUCGUACGAAUGAUUGAAUAAUAUUGUGGUCGAUACCUAUGACCAGAACAAUUGUUUAAAAAUGAUUGCUCAGUUAUGAGCUUCACCAAUAGAUGCAUAAACGAAGUAGAAACUGUGACCAAUUAUUUUGAAAAAAAAAAAAAAAUUGAGCAAGAAGGAAGCAAUUAUUAUGCACAAAUCACUAUUAUGGGUAACUACGUCAUUGAAGACCGAUACUCUAUUUUUUGUUUUACGAUUUGUGCAAAAGUUGAAAGGAAGAUAAUUGAGUAUUAAUUAUCAUCUAUUAAUUCUGAAUUUAAUUCACAUUAAUCAUCUGUUUAAAUCUAUAAUUUAUAAUUUUAAGAAACAGAAUAUUGAUUUAUGACAUGAUUUUUGGGAAAAGAAUUUUUAUUUAUGAUAUAUUUGAAAUCUCAUUCUUAAAAUAUGGUACAUAUGAUUUUCCCUUCUCCCAAUUCAAUAUAAAUGAGGUAUGCUAUACUCGACCUCACCUCGCAUCACCCCAAACCUAUCGUUUAACUUGUUUUUUCCAAAUGACAAUUCACACUUCGCCGUGGCCACUACUUCCACCACCGCCACCCACUGGCAAGGAGAAGGAGAUGGUGGUCAAAGUGUCAUUAAUGGUGGUGGUAGAUUGAAAUGGUGGAAGGUAGGGUUGGGAGUUGGGGACCUAUUAUAAUGGUGGAGGUGGUGGUUGGUAGCAUUAGGAUUGUGGCGGUUUAUUCAUCGGAGCCCUAUCCUCAUUCCCCGAUGCCGGAGUCCUCCAUCUCACCCAAAUAUGUGUUUCUAGCAAGUGUGGAAUUUAAAAAGUAAACAGGGUAGGUAGCAUAGUUUUCUAUUGCUAUUCUUCUGCCAAAUGGUUUGAAUGGGUCGAGCCUUUGGGUUACUAGGUUGGAAUAUUUAGCCCGGCCUAGAUCGAGUCGGCCAACUUUUUAGGAUGUGCUUCAAUUUAUUUUCUAAUCGUCAUUGUUGUACUUAUUUGUCUCUUAUAAUUUAUCAUGUCUGUUUUUUAGUUAUUACAUGUUCGACGAUCAGAUUUUUAUCAUAUUGCAUUGACGAUCAAUUUGUCAUCCAUUGAUGAGAAACUUAUAUAUAUAUAUAUAUAUAUGGGCGAAUUUAGGAGUUUUGAGUCAGUACGAUGACCGUUGACUGUCUACCAUCGAUCACAAUAAAAUAUUAAGAGUUCGUUUGAUACCCAAAAAAAAAAAGCAUUUUGUAAUAGUGAUUGAUGGAGAAUGUGUGCCUAAAAAAAGAAAAUUGAAUUUACGUGUACUAUUAUUUUAUUGAAAAAUAUAUGGUUGAAAAAAAGAAAUAAAAAAUGUACUUGAAAAAAAUUAUGAAUCAAAUAAGGCCUAAAGUUUAAUAUUAACAAUUAUUUUGUUCAAAUUGAACAUAUGUAAUUAUUUUAUAAGAAUAAGCGGACUCAUCAAAUAACAUUGUUGUCAAAUUUUGUAUAAAGGAAGAGCACAUAUUCAUAUCUUUACCAUUGUACUCGCAUUACAACAGAUAGAACCUAACAAAUUUUAUUUUGUCAAACUUAGAGUGAAUAUUCAAUGGAUGCCAUAGCGAUCGAGUUUAUAAUACCUCUGACAAGAGGUCACAAGUUCAAAUCUUGUUUGAUCCCCCACCCUGUUAAAUUUUGGCAAAAAUUGUAGAAUUUAAAUAUUAUUGCACAAUAAGUUUGUUGGUAAAAAAAAUUCGAAUUUGGGGCUCGCACUAUAUAAAUUUAAGUUCUGACCAAGUGAGCCACAAGAAGUGCUAGAAAAUAAACUGAAUACCAGCAAUAUAACCUAAAACUUUAAUCUAUUGCCAACAAAAAAAAAUAGCUCCUGACGGUUCCGGCAAAUUGGCCGCCCUAACUCGCUACCACCUAAAUCCGCCAUUGUAUAUAUUCAAUCUAUCGAACUAUGGGAGAUUAUUUUAUUUUAUCGAUAACUAAAUUAGGAAUUAUUCCUCUUUAAACCUAUCUUAUCGAAAAAUUAUCUGUAAGGUUAGGGGUGUUAAAUGAGGCGAGAUGUCUUGCACUAGUCGUGAAACGAGUUGAGUGCGAGCCAGCUUGUGUUGAAGAAUCUUGAGCUCGGUUAGCGAGAUACUCAAAGAUUAUUUAUUUAUUUAUUUUUUUCACGAUAAUUGCACUACAACUAAUAGAGGUGUAAUGAAAACGUAAAUUUGAAAGAAAACAUAACAAAUUAUAAAUUUGUAAAAAUUCUCAUCCUUUUAACCGGGCUUGCAACAUAAUAACUAUUAAAAAUUUAAACAGAAUUACAAUUCUACAAUCGUAGUCUGCAAUUGUACUUCUGAAAAAUUACAUAAUGACACUUUCAUUUUCUUGAAAAGUUAUUCGCCAAUAUAAACAUGUGUUUUUCAAAUUGCAAUAUUGUCUAGGCCACGUGAUGCGUCUCGAUCUUGAAAAAAUUAAUCUAUUAAUUUGUCUACUUUAUAUUGGGCACAAAGCUCUACGUGUUCAGUCUUCGUAAUCCUUUAACUACAAUAAACUAUGAACAUUCGAUGAAUGCAUGAAAUAUAUUUUCACGAAACUAGAUGUGAUUAGAAUUUUUAGUUGAUUGAACAAAUUGGCCGCAUCCAUGAUCUCCAAAAAAACUCCGAACUUGUUUUUUAUUACUUCCUCGAGUCUACUCUCUUACUAUGACACUCCUUUAAUAUCAGACAUUUUAUCUGAUCAAUACUCAAUUCUAUGACUUAAGUCACUACAAAAAAUUAAUGCACUCGUUAUAUGCACCUACAUGAAAUCUUACUAUUACAAGUAGAACACCAAAGUUGACAGAGGAAAGAAUGAUAGAAAAUGAAAUGGAAAAGAAAUAUGUUUCCCUGAAGCAUGCCUAUUAUAAUAGGUAAAAAUUCGAAAAAAAAUAUUUUUUUGAAAUUUCAAUUUCAAUUUCAAAAUUUUAAUUUAAUCCCAUUUUUAUUUAAAUUUUGCUAUUCAUACAUUUUUGGAUUACACCAUGUUGAUAUUUCCUUUGUUUUUCAAAAAAUGUGUAGGCGGGAAAAAUGUUUUUUAAGUGACGAAUAAUAUGGCAAAUUGUCAAACUUGAUGUAGACCAAAGUGUACAUCAAGUAUGAUUAUUUUUAUUUUUCAGUGGUAGGAGCCAUCUGCCAUGAAUUAGAAACAUACAUGUGCACCGUUGGGCACUCAUGCUUUAACAAGGGACCUAAUGGGUUUGUCUAUGCCCAUUCAUGGGCCGAGAAUGAACUUGACCCACAGGCUCGCUCACAAGCUAGCUUACUCGACUUGCAAGUCAACGAGCGAUUCAUCACAUAGAGCGUUGACCAGCUUACGCUCGCAACUUGUUACAUAUGAAUUGAUUGACGACUCGUCCAACUUUUCGCACUUAAUUAAAAUCAACGGUAAAAAUAAAAGGAAAAAGUUGUUAAAGAACCCAGUCAAAUAAUGGAUUUGAUCAAAUAACCUCAUUCCAAUAUUUUUUUGGUCAAAUAGCCUUCAAUUAUCAAACACAAUAAAUAAAUAGUGUCGAAUGUCAUAAAUACCAUCACAAUUGGAAAAGACCCUAAAACUCUUGUCAAUCCAAUUAAAUUCUCUAAUUCAAUUUUUGGAUCCCAAAAUCACAAUAGUUUUAUUCUCUUCAACUAUUAUUGCUACUCUAAAAUCCUAUUAUUCAUUAUAUCUUUCACCUAUUUGUGCAUCUUUUGACCACUUAUCAUCUAUAUUGAAAAAUCUCAAUUACAUUUGAAGAAAGAAGAAAGAUAAUUUUAGAAAUCUUAUAUAAAUUGUACUUUUAUUAUUGAAUAUAGUAUUGAAUAAUAUUAAGUUGGUGUUGUUUUCAUAAUUAGUGUGUGUGUGUGUUUUUUUUUUGUUUGUUUGUUUGUUUUUGUUUUUUUGUUUUUUGUUUUUGGGGUUGCAUGCAACUAUUGAAUAGUAAUGACACUCUAACUGUUAUCCAAAAUGUAGAAUGUCACUUUAGUCGUUAUCUACUAUGUAAGAUUACACUACAGUUGUUAUCUAUUGUGGUUUAUUUUUUUUCAAAGAAACGACUUCUAAUAAUAGAAUCCUAAGGUAAAUAACACAGAAAAAUUGACCAUUUCACAAAGAAAUGUUGAAAUGACAAACUUUUGUAUUAUCAAUAUAGUGAAAUCACAAAUCAUCCUAUUCAAUUUCUGUAUGUGCAUGUUUCAAUAUAAAUAAGUUUCAACUUAUUAUUUUUCAAGGUACAAAGGUCGUUACUGCUUAUAGUCGUGUUUACACAUGUAAUAGCACACGUGUUGUUUUCAUGUACAAUACUGACACUUAUGUCAUUCCAAAAUUUUCACCUAUAUUUAAUAUUGUUCAACAAAACAACCUUUAAUAAAGGACUCCAUAGUAUAUGUAACAUAGAAAUGUUGACCAUAUCAUAAAGAACGGUUGAAAUGACAUAACUUUUAUAUUAUCAAGAUGUUGAAAGUGCGAGUCAUACUAUUCAUAUGUGUCGAUUAAGUUAAUGAACAUAUCUCUUAAUCUUUAUACAUUUCAUAUGCAUAUUACAAUGUAAACAAAUUUCACUUAUUAUUUCUCAAGUGCGAAUAGGGCGUAACUAUUUAUAUUCAUGUUCAUAAAUAAAAUGACACAAGGGUCGUUUUAUUCUCAAUAAAGGCACUUGUGCAAUUCAGUUGAAUUCUCCACUAUUUUGAUUUAUUUUGAAGGCAACGAUCUUAAGCACUGGACCCCCUGACGUAUGUGAAAUAAAAUGAUUGAUCACAAGAUAAAGAACGAUUAAAAUGACAUAAAUUAUAUGAUAUUGAGUAGAUAAAAGCAUAAGUUAUUCUAUUGGUUCAUUAGAAUAUAAAUAAUUAACAUAUCUCUCAGCUUUUAUAACUGUCAUAGCAUCAUCUAAUUUAAAUGAGUUCAACUUAUUGGUUCUUGAGAACGAAUAGAGUGCGAAUGUUUAUUUUCCUAUUUAUAAACAGAAUGACACAUGGGUCAUUUUCUUCUUAGUAACGACAUGGUAUAUGUAACAUAAGAACGUUGACCAUAUCAUAAAGAAUGAUCUCAAGCAUUGGACCUCCUAAAGUGCGUAAGAUAGAAAGGUUAAUGAUUGAAAUGACAUAGAUCAUAUGAUAUUGAGUUAAUGAAAGUAUAAGUCAUUCUACUAAUUCAAUAGAUUAUAAGGGUGUGUUUGAGUCCCAUUUAUAUUUUUAAGAAUGUAUUUUGAAAUAAUAGAUUGAUGGAGAAUAUAUGAUGAAAAAAGAAGGAUUUUUUUAUUUAUGUUUAAUAUUAUUUUAAUGAAAAAUAUAUAGUUGAAAAGAAGAGAGAGAAAUGUAUUUUAGGAAAAAUAAGAAUCAAACACUCCCUAAGUAAUAAGCAUAUCACUCAAUUUUUGUAAAUAUCAAUCCCAUCUUACAAUUUAAAUGGGUUCAACUUAUUAGUUCUCGAGGCAUGAAUGGAGCUUGACUGUUAAUAAUCGUGUUUAUGAACAGAAUGAUACGAGGACCAUUCUCUUCUCAAUAACUAACACUUGUAUCUUUCUGUUGAUUUCUCCUAUAUUUUGAUUUAUUUUCAAUGCAGUGACCUCAAGUAUUGGAUCCUAACGUGCGUUAAAUAGAAAGGUUGAUUGCGUGACAAAGAAUGAUUGAAAUGACAUGGAUCAUAUGAUAUCGAGUUGAUGAAAGAAGAAGUUAUUCUAUUGGUUCAUUAGAAUAUAAGUAAUAAGCACAUCUCUCAACUUUUGUAAAUACCAUAUUCGUCUUAUAACCUAAAUGAGUACAACUUAUUGAUUUUCGAGGCACAAAAGGGACGGGGUGCUUAUAUUCAAUUUUACAAAUAUAAUGACACAAGAGCUAUUUUCUUCUCAGUAAAAGCACUAAUGUUGUUCCAUUGAUUUCUCCUAUAUUUUAAUUUGUUUCGAACCCAAAGACCUCAAACAUUGGACUCCUAGAUAAUAAGCAUAUCUCUAAACUUUUGUAACUAUAGUAUCCAUCCUAGAACUUAAAAUGAGUUUAGAUUAUUGGUUCUCGGGCGACGGAUGAGAUGUGGCUGCUUAUAAUUUUGUUUACAAAUGGAAUGACAUAAAUGCCAUUUUCUUCUCAAUAAAGGCACUUGUGCCAUUUUGAUAGACACUUAUAUGUCAAUAACAACAUCUGUGCCAUUCUCAUGAACACUUAUUUUACAAAUAUAACGAUACUUGUGCCAUUCCAAUGGUGAAAUCAUAAGUUAUUGUAUUGAUUCGUUAGAAAAUAUAAUUAAUGAACAUAUUUCUCAACUUGUAUUUAUAGAUAGAACGAAAUAAGGGUCAUUUUCAUUUUAGUAACUGCUCUUGUGCCGUUCUAUUGAUUUCUCUUAUAUUUUGCUUUUUUUUUCUAGCACAACGAUCUUAAACAUUGGAUCCUUUAACUUAAGAAAGUCAGAAAUGUUGAUCAUGUGACCAAGAACGAUUGAAUUGACAAAGAUUAUAUAAUAUCAAGUUCGUUUUUUUUUCAUUUUUAGGUGAUUUUUCCAUGCCAAUCAAACACACUCUUAGGCAUCAGGAGUUUGGUAAUUUUUAUGCUCGUCCCCUUUUGCACACUUAAUUUCUUAUUUUUUGCUAUUUAAUAAGAUAAAUUGACAUUACUUCGAUGAAUUAUCAUUUUUUUUCUCUAUGUGGUGUGAUGGGAAUGCAGUCUAAUAAAGUAAUUAGUCAACAUUCCCAGGAGAGUGUUAUAGAUGUUUAUUUUGGUGCAAGUGCAAUAUGGAGCAGUAUUAAAUAGCAGGACUUGAGACUAUUUUGACAUUAAUGUUGCUUAAAACCAACUCUGAGUAAUUUCUAGGCUUUUGGAUCUUUUUUUGCAAAUGUCUAUUUUUGUGGUCUCGUUUCUUGAGAAGUUCAACUAAUUUUGUCGAGCUCUACCCAUUGCAUUCUCUUCCCUACAGUUUGUGGUAGCUUAACUUUUCGAUAUUCGUAAUUUAGUGACAUUGUUUGCAGAAACAUGGAAAACAAAUACUCCAUACGUCGCCACUUAAAUAGUAUCGUUGACUUUCUUAAUCAAAUUGACCAUUUUUUACAUGAAAAAAGAACGGUCUGAUUAGGUGGACUUCGUAGAUCAUCUAACUUUGCUACAACCAGAAGGUUGAAACCACUUAGUGCUUGCUUUAUUAGGUUAAAUAAGAGAGAGUAAUUGAUUGAUGUGCCUGUUCGUAGCCCAAAUGAAGCUUCUGUAUUGAUCAGUUCAGUAAUUUACCUCAAUAAACUGUACGAACCAUAGUUUCUUGUUUGAAUGUCAAUAUUUAUCUUCAAAGUAAAGAUGUUCAUAUAAUAAUUUGUCUUAAAUGCGGUGAAUGUGGCCACAAAAAAGUCAAGUUGAUCAUUUAACCGAUGACAAGGAAGUAUUUGUUAACAAGGAAUUGUACUUUAUGUUUUUUUGUUUGAUCAAGUUGUUAAUAAUGAAUUCUCCUUGUGCCUCUCCCUAUGUCAAACCAAGAGCCAAACUGUGUACGAACUAAAAGGAGUCCAAGUGGUCGCAUAUGAUUAUGGACCAUAUAAAGUGGACUUGACGUCCAUUGCUCCACCAAUUGUUUUUCUUCUUUAGUAUUUUUAAUUAUCAGAUCAUACCUUGUGCUGCUAUUUACUUGGGGUAUAUUUGAGCAUCUCAUUUACAUCUAGUUUUGAUGUGAAAUUUUUAGGAGAGUAGAUGAUAUUGUUUGCUGGAAUCUUAGAAUUGUUUGCCUCUCACGACUUGUAACUGGAAAUCUAAUAAAAUCGUUUUAGGGAAAAGGAAGAGGCGAACCAAAAGGAAGAACUAUUCUAUUGAAGUAAGAUAUUUACUAUUUGUUCCAAUCCGGCAAAUUAUUGUUGUGAUAUUUUAAUUUGGUUUCAUCCGGCAAAUAAAUUUUCUUUCUUAUUCCAUCUUUGACUGGUUGGGGGAUGCCUUUAAUGUGCUACUACUGUACAAGAUCUAUGUUAGGGUUACAAGGUUAUAGCCAUGUGUCAGUUGAUUUGGAAAUUGUGUUGCGUUGGGUUUAUGUCCAAAUAUAAAAACUUUAAUGGCAUAGGCCUUGUCAGGAUGCAGUACAUAUUUUUCUCCUCGGUGUUACUACUAAAUAGGUGGCAUAGGUGUUCGCUCCCACAAAAUGUACACUUUUUACGUUACUGAUGUGGUCCACCAUUUACACCAUGAACUCUGUAAAGUAAAUGAUGCUGAUUGUGCACCCAUGACACUGCUAUUUGUCCAUUCAUUACAGAAUGUACUAAUUGCUUUAGCAGUUGCAUGUUUGUCGUGUCUGUAACUGGUUUAUCUUUCUUUAUUGGUUCAAUUAAUGUUAUUCUCUUCUAUGAUUGUAGUUUGAGAUUCUCCCCUUUUUUAGGAAAGCUAUACUGUAAAUGUUGAGCAAUUUGCAAGGACUAAACAAAAACAAGAAGAAGAUAAAGCGGCUGCUAGGUUGCAUUCAUUCAAAUAGGCAAUUUUCAAAGUUUUUAUUCACUUCCAUAGACAGAUAUAUCUAGUCCUGUUCUAUGUUCACCUUAGCCCUUUUUUUAUCUUUUGAUUGGACAGUGAUAGGUGCGGGACCUCUGGAUCUAGAACAACGUUCUCAAAGAAAGAUAAUAAAAUAAGAUCUCUCAAAUCUACGAGUACUUCAACAAAGGUUCACUACCUAAAUGCCUAUUUGCUUUCAUUGCUUGUCUUAUGUAUGUGAUGCGUAUGGAUAAGGUUUUAAUAGCUCAAGUUUAGUCAGUACAUUGGUUAACAAAUUUAUACAUUACUCGUAAGUUCUCUGUUUUGUAUUGAAUUUAAUCUUGCAUGCAUUUCUGUAUAUAUUAAUGAAGAUAAGAAUGCUAGUAAAGUUCCUUAUUUUCAACUGGCUACAUAAAAGCUAAUGCAUAUCUCUUCUUCCUUCUCCGGAUAACAAAAGAAAAUAAGCAAUGUAGAUGCUGUCAGUGUCCCCGUUGAUUGAUUUCCUCUGAGUCAUGGAAUAAAGAUGUUUUAACACUGUAUGUUAUCUAUGGUACUAAAAAAAGAUGGGGCUUAAUGUCUAAUAAAGUAAUUUAUAUGCAUGCUAGCCCAAGAUUGCUACUCGCAAUUUUCUUUUAUAUUUAUUGGUGGUUAAGCAUGUGGUUGUAACUGUAAAGUAUGAAAGAAAAUUAUUUUUCCUUGUAUUCAAUCAUAGGGAAGAUACUCCCAUAUAUACAGGUAGAGAAAUCUAAAUUAGGAAACUAUUCUAACUAGGAAAUACUAUAAUCAAGCUAUCAAUCCCCAUAAUUAAGCAUCUAUUUACAUACGUAACACUCCCCCUCAAAUUGGAGCAUAGAUAUUAAUCAUGCCCAGCUUGUUACAAAUAUAAUCAACCCGAAUCCCAUUUAGAGUCUUUGUGAAAAUAUCUCCUAGUUGUUCUCCAGUUUUCACGUAUCCUGUAGAGAUUAAAUUUCGCUGUACCUUUUCACGAAUAAAAUGACAGUCAAUUUUAAUAUACUUGGUUCGUUCAUAGAACGCAGGAUUAGAAUCAAUAUGAAGAGCAGCUUGAUUGUCACACCACAACCUUGCUGGUAUUGAAGUUUUAAGACCAACUUCAGUUAAGAGUUGAUAUAUCCACAUUAUCUCACACAAAGACUGUGCUGUAGCUCUAUAUUCUGAUUCUGCACUAGAUCGGGACACAACAUUUUGCUUUUUACAUUUCCAUGAGACUAAAGUUUCUCCAACAAAAAACACAAUAACUGGUAGUUGAUCUUCGGUCAAUCUUAGAACCUGCCCAAUCCACAUCUGAGAAGCAUUCGAUGUGGGUAUUUCCAUGAUUUCUGUAUAGUAUUCCACGUCUAGGAGCUCCCUUUAAAUAACACAAGAUCUAUUCUAAAGCUGUCCAAUGGUGAAUUGUUGGGGAAGACAUGAAGUGAAUUACAAUGCUGACGGGAUGUGCAAUAUCAGGACGGGUUAUUGUAAGAUAGUUCAAUUUUCCAAUUAGGAUAGUUCAAUUUUUCAACCAGUCUUCUAUACUUCUCAGGAUCUUCAAAUAAAUCAUUAUCUUUGGUAAGUCGCAAAUUGGAAAGUAUUGGAGCACUACUUGGCUUAGAUCCCAACUUUCUGAUGGGGAAAUGGGAGGAUAAUGGUUGGACAAAGAAGCAAUAGAUCUGUAGAAGCGAAAUAGAUUUUAUAUUAGUGAAAAGAAUGAUUAUAGCAACUGGAAUGAUAAUGGACAGCCUUUCGAGAGGGCCGAAUCUCUUCUAAAUAACACUUACAUUAAUCAGGUCGUGCCUCUCUUCCAUUCCCCCUACUAUUUAUAAGUGUGCCAAAACAGAUUCCUAACAGAAUUAGUCACUACCCCCACUCCCUUCCUUUCUCUUGAUUCUUCUAGAAUAAGUGUGCGUGAUUGGGGGCCUAUUAGUCACCCUUCCCAAUUCAGCCACCUUGUCCUCAAGGUAGAAGGUGGGAAAUUGUUGGUUGAUUAGGCUGUACGGUUCCCAGGUGGCUUCCACUGUAGACAUUCCUUUCCAUUUUAUCAGAACUUCCAUAUCCUCAGCAUCACUUGUUGGAACAAUUCGGGCACCCAAUACUGCUUCUGGCUCUACCGUUAGUUCCUAGUCCGCACCAAGGUUAAGUAGUAGUUGAGUGAUCAGAUGAUGCUCCCCAAUAGCUUUCCGUAACUAUGAAACGUGAAAGACCGAAUGAAUUACGGUCCCCAUGAUAGGUCUAGUUUAUAGGCAACCGCCCCAACUUUAGCCACAAUUUUAAAAGGUCCAUAGUAGCGAGGCGCUAGCUUCUCAUUGAUUUGGUGUGCCAGAUUUCUGCGUUGGUACGGCCUCAUCUUCAAAUAGACUAAAUCACAUAUAGAGAAUUCUACCAACCGUCGGUGCUUAUCAGCCGUGUUUUUCAUUUGUUGUUGAGCCUUCUCCAAAUGGAUCUUGAGUUCCUCCAGGACCCUGUAACGUUCUACUAAUUACUGAUCUAAGGAAGAAACAAUGGUGGUGCCCUUCUCAAACGGCAACAGAGUUGGGGGUUCUCUCCCAUAUAGUAUGCGAAAAGGUGUCAAUUGUGCAGAUACGUGGAAUGAUGUAUUGUAUGAGAAUUCUGCCAAAGCCAGAAAAUGGUGCCAUUUCUUUGGUCUGAAUGUAGCAAAACAGCGCAGAUAUGUUUCAACACUCCGAUUCACCACUUCCAUUUGGCCAUCGAUUUGGGGUGAUAGGCCGAACUGUGCUUUAAUUUUGUCCCCUGCAAAUGAAACAUUUCGCUCUAGAAUUUACUUAGAAAUACUUUAUCUCUGUUAGAUACUAUGGAUCGUGGCAUCCCGUGCAAACGAACUAUUUCCUUGAUAAAGAUUGAAGUGACUGAGGGUGUAGUGAAUAGAUGUUUAAGUCCAAUGAAAUGAGCAUUCUUACUUAGUCGAUCCACCACUACUAGAAUGGAAUCAAACCCCUCCGACUUAGGCAUACCUUCUAUGAAGUCCAUAGAUAUGUCUUCCCAAACCCGUUCUGGAAUAGGUAGAGGUUGUAAUAGGCCAGUUGGAGUCAAUGUUGAGUAUUUGCACUAUUGACAAACUUCACAAGCUACCACGUACUCCUGAAUGUCCUUCUUCAUGCCAACCCAGUAAAAUGUGCCAGCAACUCUCUUGUAGGUUUUGAAAAAUCCACCAUGCCCUCCAACUUUGCAUUCGUGUCCUUGUAGAGCUAGCCGGACCAAAGGAGAGCCUUUAGGUAUGGUGAUCCUAUCCUUGUAUUAUAAGACAUCUUGCACAAUUGUAUAGCCUGUGUAAGACAAUGGAUUAUCCUUAAUGGCAUUCCUCAUCAUACUUAGGUAGUGAUCAUCCAUCUGUUCUCUAAUUACUUCAUCUAUUUGCUAGACACUUGGAAUACUGAGAGCCAUAAAUCUUACUGUUUCCCAUUUUAUGGACAAUGCAUCUGCUGCCCUAUUUUCUAGCCCAGGUUUAUAUUUGAUGUCAAAGUCAAAUCCCAGCAAUUUUGUCAACCAUUUCUGAUACUCUUCAUUGAUGACUUGCUGUACAAGGAGAAAUUUGAGGCUCUUUUGAUCUGUUCUCACCACAAAUCACCUUCCUAGUAGGUAAUGCCUCCAUUUUUGUACUGCUAAAGCUAUUGCCUUGAGUUCUCUUUCAUAAACAGAUUUCCCUGAGUCCUGGGUGGGAAAACCUGGCUGAAAUAGGCUACAAGUCUCUAAUUCUACAUCAAAAUGGCGCCUAAACCAAUGCCAGAAGCAUCGGUUUCAAUAAUAAAUGUUUGUGAAAAAUCUGGAAGGGUUAAUACCGGAGUUGUUGUCAUGGCCUCUUUAAGUUUAUUGAAUGUGACUUCAACCGUGUCAUUCCAUCCAAAGCUAUCAUUCUUCAAUAGUUGAGUAAGGGGCCACACCAUUUUUCCAUACCCCUCCACAAAUCGCCUGUAAUAACUUGUUAACCAUAGAAAUCCCCUCAGCUCCUUCAGAAUCUUCGGUCUGGGCCAGUCACUCAUGGCUGCAACUUUGGACUGGUCAGCAGCAACUCUCGAUUCCAAGAUAAUAUGCCCAAGGUACUCAAUUUUCCUCUACCCAAAAGAACAUUUCUUCUUAUUGGCGAAAAGCUUGUGGUUUACCAAGAUCUGCAAUACCCUCUACAAGUGGUCUCUGUGUUCCUCUUCCGUUUGACUGUAUACCAUUAUAUCGUUAAAGAACACCAAAAUACAUUUUCUAAGCAUGUAUCUGAAAAUAUCAUUCAUUAAGGACUGAAAGGUGGCCGGUGUGUUAGUCAAACCAAAGGGCAUGACCAGAAAUUCAUAAUACCCUUCUUGAGUUCGAAAAAUAGUCUUUGGCAAGUCUUCCACCUUAACUCGAAUCUGGUGGUAAACUGAUCGAAUGUCGAUUUUUGAGAAUAUCUUAGCUCCAUGUAGCUCAUCUAGUAAUUCGUUGAUGACAGGGAUUAGGAAUUUGUCAGGCAUAGUUACUUUGUUUAGAGCUCGGUAAUCUACACAAAAAUGCCAACUUCCAUCCUUCUUCUUUACUAAGAGUAUCAGGCUUGAGAAAGGGCUGGUGUUGUGCUGAAUGAUACCGACUGCUAACUCUCUCGAACUAGUCACUCAAUUUCAUUUUUCUGAAAAUUGAGAUAUCGAUAAGGUCAGACACUUACUGGCUCCGCCCCAGACUUUAACACUACUACAUGGUCCUGUCUUCGUUUGGGAGGCAACUAUGUGAUAUCUUCAAAGACUAUCUUAUAUUCUUCCAGCACUUCUUCAACAAUUUUCGGUGGCCAUUGCAAAGGAGGAUUGUGGGAUAGCGUGAUGUUCCCUAAUUCCAGUAGAAAUCCCUCGCCUUGUUCCUUGAAAGCCUUCCACAUAGAUUUCAAUGAUACUGGAAUUUUGCUAAGGCUUGAGUCCCCUUGUAAGUUAACAGUCACCCCUUCCUCGGUAAAGGAAAUUGUGAGAUUAUUCGAGUCGACUUGCAUCGUCCUUAACUUCCAUAGCCACUGCAGUCUGAGUAUGACGUCGAAACUCCCCAAAUCCAAGGGUAGGAAGUCCUCAACCACUUCUAGGCCCAGCAGCUUUAAUGUUGCAUGCUUGCAAACACCUUCUUCUUUCGUUGUCAAUCCUAUGCCCAUUAUUACUCCAUAUCCAAUCGUGCCUGACAAUGGAAAUUCUUCCUCCUGCACUAGCCCAGUUAAGAUGAAAUUAUGAGAAGCUCCAUUAUCCACUAGUACUACCAUCUUUCUCUGACCAAUCAGUCCCUGUAGCUUCAUCGUUCCAGGUACCGUGAGCCCAACCACCGAAUUAAUGGAGAGUUCAACUGGUUGACCCAUCAAACCUCCUUCGAUUUAGGCACCACCAAGUCGUCAACUGUGACUUCGCCUCCUAUCAUUUCUUCUGACACCGACUGCUCCGUGUCUUUCAACUCCUGAAUCACCAGUACUUGCAGCUCUUUACUCUUACAUUUAUGGCCAAUAGUAAAAUUUUCGUCACAACGAAACAUAGGCCUCUCUCUUUCUUUGUUUGAAGCUCUGUGUCGGUAAGUCUUCUAAAGGGUGUGGAAAAUUUGGAAUGCGAGUUGGGGCGAUUUGUGGCUAGAUGUAAGGGUAUUGUGGGUUUGUGGGAGAUUUGGGCUAUUAUAUGGAUACUUUUAGGUUUAAUUGGGCCUGAGUUGGUAUGGGUUGUUUGGCUAAUAGUGUUUCGAUCCUCCACCAUUUAGGCUUUUUCAUCAUCUGCUCUAGGCCCACAGGUCUGAGUAAAUAUACCUCAGCCCUGAUUUUUGGCACCAACCCAUUAAGGAAAAUUGAUUCCAACAUUUCAUCAGAGACGUCUUUCAACGGCAUGGCCAAUUUUUCAAACCUCUGACGAUAAUUUCUGACCGUGUCCUCCUACUAGAUAGAGAGAAACUGAGCGCAUAAGGAUCCUCCCUGCAUGGACCGAAAUCGGAGAAGGAGUUGUGCUUUCAGAUCCUCCAAAUUUGUUGGUGGCCUUCGUUUCUCUUUCCACUUAUACCAUGUCAGGGCCUCAUCGUCAAAACAUACAGCAGCUGCCUCAACUUUAUCCUCUUCACUUAUUCGAUUGAGGCUAAGAUACCUCUCCACAUGGAAGAUCCACCCAUCUGGAUUGUUUCCCUAAAAAUGGGCAUCUCCAACCGUCGGACUCGUGGUUCCAACCUCCAAUCAUUGCCUAAGCUCACACUGUUCUGACUUCUCUCUAAUCUAGACUGUGUUAACCCAAAUUCUUAUUGUGUCAUUGGUGAGUUUUCUAUGGCUGGGCCUUUAUCCUUUCGUUCACUCUCCUGGUUUUCCCAAGUACACAGUAGAAGAUCAAACUUAGAAUGUAUCGACUUAAAAUCCGGUCGUAGGAUUUCGAGACCGGUCUGCAUCUCCUGAUGAUUGCUUUCAACCUUUUGUUCCAAUUGUCCCAUUCUGUACGCAAGAGUCAUGGCUGUGUUUGGCUGAUUUAGGGUGCUCUGAUACCAAUAUUAAUGGGAAAAUGGGAAAUUAAUGAUUGGACAAAAAAGCAAUAGAUCUGUAGAAGCGAAAUAUAUUUUAUAUUAAUGAAAAGAAAGAUUAUAGCAACUGGAAUGAUAAUGGACAGCCUUUCGAGAGGGCCAAAUCUUUCCUAAAUAACACUUACAUUAAUCAGGUCUUGCCUCUCCUCCCUUUUCCCCUACUAUUUAUGAGUGUGCCAAAACAAACUCCUAACAGAAUUAGUUACUACCCCCAUUCACUCUUCUCUUGAUUUUUCUAGAAUAAGUGUGCGUGAUUGGGGGCCUAUCACUUUCAUGUCUCUGUUAACAAGUCAAGUACAUACUUUCUCUGAGAUGAGAAGAUGCCUUUCUUGCUUCUUGUCACCUCAACUCUCAAGAAACACUUCAACACUCCUAAAUCCUUCAUAUGGAAUUGGGCGUGAAGAAAUGACUUUGGAGAUGAAAUUUCCAUAGUAUCACUGCCAGUAAUAACAAUAUCAUCAACAUACACAACAAAAAGAAUAAUGUCGGAUUUGGAUUGUUUGUAGAAGACUAAGUGAUCAGACUUGAUCUUUUGCAUUCUAAACUUUUCCAUUACCUGACUAAAUUUUCCAAACCAAGCACGUAGUCUUUGUUUCAACCCAUAUAAGGAUUUUCGAAGAUGACACACUUUCUCAUGCUCUCCCUGAGCAACAAACCCAGGAGGUUGCUCCAUAUAAACUUCUUCAUGGAGACCACCAUGUAAGAAGGCAUUUUUUAUGUCCAGUUGAUGUAAAGGCCAAUCAUGAAUAACUGCCAUAAAAAUGAAUAAGCGAACAAACAUUAACUUAGCGGCAUGAGAGAAUGUUAGAAUAAUUCACACUAUAAGUCUGAUCAUAGCCUUUAGCAACAAGAUGGGCUUUAAACCGAACCACUGAUCCAUCAAGAUUGACUUUGACUGCAAAUACCCACUUACAUCUAAUUGCCUUUUUUCUGCAGGUAAAUCCACUAAAUCCCAAUUACCAUUAGUAUCCAAAGCAUUUAUCUCCUCAAUUAAAGCUUCACGCCAACCAGGAUUGUAUAAAGCUUCAUGAACAGUUUUCGAAAGAGUCACAGAGUCAAGGGAAGCAACAAAAGAAGACAAGUGAUCAUAAGACACAAAAGAUGAAAUAGGAUAAGUACAUUGUCGUUUACUUUUGCCGAGAGCAAUAGGUAGAUCAAGGUCGCUGGACAUUGGAUCCGAUGCCGAAGAAGAGACAGGUAUCGAACAUGCAUCAGGAGGGCCUCGUCUUCUGGAAUGCACAUGGUGAAUAGGUGGUGGUGUGGGAGCAGUAGGUGUCGAAGUGACAUUAGUUGACUGGUAAGUGACAUAAUACACCAACAGAUCAUCAUCCUCCUCCUUACUGAAAGAAGUAUAAGAAGUUGGAAAGAAAGGAAUCUAUUCGAGAAAAGUAAUAUCAAUUAACACAAGAUAUUUGUUAAGACUCGGGCAAUAGCACCUAUACUCUUUUUGUAGACGAGAGUAACCCAGAAAAAUACAUUUUAAAGAUUUGGGAUCUAAUUUAGUUACCUGGGGCAAACAUCACGAGUAUAACAUGUACUACCAAAAAUCUUAGGUUCAAUAGGAAAUAGGGGUUUAGUAAGGAAAAUGACACUGUAAGGAGUCUUACCAUAGAGAACGGAUGAAGGCAUCUGAUUAAUCAAGAAACAGACUGUGAAAAUUGCAUCAACCCAAAAUUGUUUAGGAAUAUGCAUAUGGAAUAGGAGUGCCCUAGCUAUCUCAAGAAGAUGUCUAUUAACACAAGAUGCCCUAACUGUUUAGGAAUAUUCGAGAAAAGUAAUAUCAAUUAACACAAGAUAUUUGUUAAGACUCGGGCAAUAGCACCUAUACUCUUUUUGUAGACGAGAGUAACCCAGAAAAAUACAUUUUAAAGAUUUGGGAUCUAAUUUAGUUACCUGGGGCAAACAUCACGAGUAUAACAUGUACUACCAAAAAUCUUAGGUUCAAUAGGAAAUAGGGGUUUAGUAAGGAAAAUGACACUGUAAGGCGUCUUACCAUAGAGAACGGAUGAAGGCAUCUGAUUAAUCAAGAAACAGACUGUGGAAAUUGCAUCAACCCAAAAUUGUUUAGGAAUAUGCAUAUGGAAUAGGAGUGCCCUAGCUAUCUCAAGAAGAUGUCUAUUUUUUCUUUCAGCCACACCAUUUUGAGAGGGGGUGUCAACAUACAAAGAUUGGUGAAGAAUACCAUUAUGAAGCAUGUAAGUUUGAAAAGAAUCGGAAAAAUAUUCUUUAACAUUAUCACUUAUUAAUGUUUGUACAGAAACAUUAAACUAAGUUUGAAUUUCAACACAAAAGGCACUAAAAUGAGAAAAUAAUUCAGAGCGAUUCUUCAUUAAAUAAACCAAGUCACAUAAGAAAAAUCAUCAACAAAGGUAACAAAAUACUGAAAUCCAGUUUUGGACAUGACAGGACAAGGACCCCAAACAUCUAAAUGAACUAAUUCAAAAAGAAAACUAGCUCUUUUAUUAACUUGAGGAACUGAGGACAGACGAUGAUGUUAUGCAAAUUGACAUGACUCACAAUCUAAAGACGACACAUUCUAAAACCGAGGACAUAAUUUCAUCAACAAAGAUAAAGAUGAAUGUCCCAACCGGCAAGUGCUUCAAAAGGAGUUAAGAUGCCUAAACACGCAAUGGACUUGGGCAACUAGCUAUCCAUAAUAUAUAGAGACUGUUUGAUUCAUGUCCUUUACUAAUAAUCUUCUUCAUCAUAAGAUUCUAAAAAAGACAGUAAUUAGCAAAAAAUGAGACACAAUAGUUUAAAGUUUGAUUAAGCUUGCUCACAGACAUUAAAUUAAAUGAAAAUUGAGGUAGACUUAAAAUAGAUGAUAAAGAAAUGGAUGGAGUUGGAUUAAUAGUGCCAGAAUCGAGGACAGAGGAUGUAGAUCCAUCAGUUUAAGUAAUAGUGGAAGGAGAUGUAUGGGAUUGAAAAGUGGAGAAGAGACUAGGAUUACAUGUCAUAUGAUCUGUGGCACCGAAAUCAAUGACCCAUUUUGAGGAAGAGGAUAGAUGACCUGUACUAGGUUUACUUGUCUUAGCAACGACAAAGAUAGGAUGAGAUGAAUUCUUCAAUGCUUCUGGGUACUGAGCGAAUUUGGCAAAUUCAUUUGUAGAAACUGUAAUGGUUUGCCCAAAGAACGAGAUGGGUGUAGUAGUAGCUGCAAUAUGGGUUGAGUGAGACUUUUGAGAUUUAUUUUACAGUGUUUCGGCACGAGUAUUUGGUAUAACCCGGCUCAUGACAGUAGUAGCAUACAAUCCUUCAUUCUGAUUUCGAUUGACCCGAUUACCUGUACCCCGCCUCGUGUAUUAUCUCUACUAUUGCGACUGAUAAGAGCAUUAAAAGUCUGAACAGAUGAAGCAACAGAAUCACCAGUUUCUGUGCGAAGUACUCUAGUCAAAGUUUCUUGCAGAGAUGAAAUCUCAGUACUGGAGAGAAUCUGGGAUUUAGCAGUCUCAAACUGAGAAGUAAGACAAGCUCGAAAACUCAUCACAGCCAUUUGCUCCCUCUAAGUUUGCUGCACUUUCACAUCUGGACUAAAGGGUAACAAGGCAUUCAGUUCUUCGUAUAUCUUUUUGAAAUUCAUAAAAUAAGCUUAAAGAGACUGAUCUUGUUGUUCAGCAUGGUAAAAACCCUUACAGACUUCAUAAAUCCGUGAUAUAUUUCCUUUCCCGGAGUACAUAAAUUCUAAAUAUUCCAUUCAUUUAUUAACAUACUCACAGUGAUUAAUCUAUGUGUCAAUGGAAUUACGGAUUUGUAAGAAUAAUCGGGCAUUAUCUCUUAACCAUGUUUGACGAGUUUUAUCUGUUGGUGGAUCUUCAAUAAGGUGAUUGUCCAUAGAAAUACUUCGCAGAUAAAUUCAAAUUGUCUUACACCAAUUUAAAUAAUUUGGACCAAUUAACUUAUGUUCCGUGAUUUUGGAUAUCAUUGGGAUGACAUCAGUUACGAUUAAAUCCUUUUGUUUGUUAGCCAUAGAAACAAAGCACAAGAUCCAAAUUACAAUAUCCCAAAUUCAACAAGGCCCACAAUGAUAGGCCCAAACAAUAUCUAAUUAAUAGCCCAACUAAUAAUUAGUUAAGCCCAAUUGCCCAAACAUCACUACUCAGCACUAUUCAAUUAAUUGAAGCCCAAAAUAAUGGCCCAACAACACUACAACCAAUCUACACAAUCGUUAGUACCCACGAUCCAACAUAAUCUAAGAGAAGAAACGAGUGCAACCUGAGGUCGAAGCCUUCAAUCGGAGGUGUAAAAUCACCAACCUAACAUCGAAACUUCCACCAACCCUACAAGGAGACGUUGGAAGCCUACUGUGACCAAGAAUCAACCGUUGAACUGGGAAGGAAACUGUGACCAACACCAUUGGACUGCACGAACCAAGGCUAUGACACGAGAAGAUGACUGAGAUCUUGAGGAGCGAGGCUGUAAUACCUCUAACUGAGAACGCAGGACAAGAGUUUGAUAUAAAAUACGUGAGGAAUUUGAAGAACCCAGAUGGCGACUAAGACACGAUCGCCUAUUACUAUGAAUCAAGAGGACAAUCACUCAAAAUUUCACACACGAGUAAGUAACUUAGGGCUCUGAUACCAUGUAAAGUAUGAAAGAAAAUUAUUUUUCCUUCUAUUCAAUCAUAGGGAAGAUACACCCAUAUAUAUAGGUAGAGAAAUCUAAAUUAGGAAAUUAUUCUAACUAGGGAAUCCUACAAUCAAGCUAUCAAUCCCUAUAAUUAAGCAUCUAUUUACAUACAUAACAGUAACAAAUCCUUUUUGUGUGCAUGCAUUGAAGGGUGCUGAUUUAACAUUUCACUGGGAGGCUAACAAGGCUCUUAAGCUGUCAAGGCCUCCUUUUCAUGAAGUAGACUAUGACUAUCGUUUGUUAUUUUUGCAUUUGCAUUUGCAUUUUGUUUGAUACCUAUGAUAAAAUAUUAUCAUCACUUUAUUAAAAGAGAAGAUAUCAGUUUCAUUGCAUUUUUCUUCUCGGUCAACUCUUUGUAUCGUCUAAAAUGACUGUGCAAAUUCUCAUAGUGUUUCCACUUUAUGUAUACAUACAUUUCAUUCGUCAGGUUAUUUCUUUCAUGGUAUGGUGCCAUAUUAACUAGGGUUUGUAUCAUUUGAAAAAUGAAGAAAAAUGCUGGAAACUUGGAAAGCUGGAUUGCUCUUCAUGUUGAUAAAUACAUUCUAUACCGUCCCUCCGAGGAUCAUGUCCGCACGUCAUAAAGGGAGGUCUACAGGAAGGAGAACCGCAUCUCGAAUGUCCAGCCUAAGUAUGUAUAACCUGUGUUCGCAUCCGAAUUUACUUGGGCGGCGAACCAGGGGGGAAUGCCGCCACUCCUCCGGAUUAGUCGGACAAAACUUGGAAACCUGAGUUAUCAAAAAAAAAAAAAAAAUUACAUUCUAUACCAAAAAUUUCAGUAAUUUUGUCUUUAAAGGGGUGCUUAGUCAUUGUUGUUGGAGCCAGAAAGUGCUCGAUCAUCUUUUUGGAACCUAAAGCUGUUGGAAUGAUAAUGAUUAAUGUCCAAUUACUUGAUCUCUUCUUCCAUUGUUAUCUGAUUCAACCUUAAUGGUGUUUAAUGUCACUUUCAAACGCAUAGCAGGUGAAAUCCUUUAAUACUUGUGAACGUGUACCGGUGCAUUUUCCUGAGGUUGUCCUUUGCUUCGAGGUAUACUAUAACAGGCGCUCUUGGUUAAAGGUAAGCACCACCACUUUCUUGCAUCUCAAUAUCCACAAAAGAAAACUGAUGUUUAUUGUUGGAUUUUAAUUUCUGUCCAUCUUUUGUCUUUGGUUCUUAUUACCGGAUCAUUUGAACUUUGUAUCUUUCUAACUGAAUGCUUUUCAGCUAAAAUGAUAUUAGCUUAAGUUUUAAUAUAUAAUAUAGAAAUAUAAAGCACUGGACAAUGUCCUUAGAUGUGAGUUUGUAAGUCCAGUCUGUUCUUUGCAAUUGCUGAAGAAUCAAACCCGUCUUCAUUGGUUACAUGCUCGACUUUCUUCAUUUUCCCUUAUUCUUAUUUUUUGCUUGGGGGUUGUAUUCAUCACCAUUCACCUGAACUUGUUCAUUGUAAUCAUGAUUACUUAUCAUGUUCCAAAUGUUCAUUGGAACAAAACUCGCCAUAAUUUGGAGGUCUUUACCAAAAUACACUUUGUUAAGAUACACAAUUUCCCAGCAUCUGAAUUUCCAUGGUUAAAUACGAGUUUGUUUUCUUAUCUGUUAUAAUGCUCUAUUCUCCUCUCUUUGUAGCUGUAUGGAAUGCAUAGAUUGAUGCAUGGCUAACUAGUGGAAACAAGAUGAUGGGUAACAGAAGUUGAAGACCUGAUCCAUGGGUCUGUUGGAAUAUCAUAGAUCUUAUACUUUAAGUGCUCGUAGUUUGAGAUAAUUUCUUUGGUAAAUGAUCAGAUAGAAAAAGGAGCAAAAAUGUUGGUUCUUACACGUGAAGAUUAGAGAGAAAAACUGGUCUUUAAUUUUCUGAUCUAGCUUUAGAAGAAAAUAUCUAUUGCUGCGAAGACUGCGUGGGUUAUAGAUUAUAGUUUUUCUGUCCUUUUUCUCUCUUGCCAUGUGUUUAUGUUUUUUCUAUUCUUUUCUGUGUUAAUGGAAUCUUGUAUUCAUUCCCGCCCUGAGCCAAAAAAAAAAAAGCGGACUUUAAUGCUAAUUGAUUAAGUAGGUCAAGUCCUAUGAUAUAUGUUUUUGUUUCUGGCGACUUAUUAUUCUCCUCAAUUUCUUUCACUUCUGACUGCAACUGAUGAUUAUGUUAAUAUGUUUGUAGACUCAAGAAUUUUUGGUUCUUGGACGGCAAUUUUUGACCGAAGUGGGAGACAAAAUAUAUUGCUUGACUGAUGAGAUCAUGAAAAAGGCGGGACAGCACGAUCCUUCUGGAUACUUCUUAAUAGAAGUAGAUUUCUGCAUUGUCUUUGUUUACUGAAAAUAAAGUAUAACUUUUAUCCCCAACUAGUUGCUAACACCAAUUGGAAUGUUUGCGGGAAGUAUUUUGCAAUGAUAUGAGGGAACACUCUGCUAUAGACUACAGCAAGCCCAUACUUGAUUGGCUUGAGAACUCUAAGGAUGAUGCACUUGAAAAAUGGGAUUGCAUCAUUGCUGGUGAAUUACAACAAAAGCAAAAGGCACUUUUGGGCAGCGAAAAAGUACAAUUGCCUGUGCUUAAAGCUCCACAUGCAAAAAAUAAGGUUUUGUGACCUAAGGUUUCGACUUGGUGCUGGAUAUCUUUACUGUCACCAGGUAUAUUCACUUUAUUUUUUCUCUAUUUCUGUUUCUUAAUGGGGUUCAUGUUGGAUCGAACACAUUGCGGUCAAAUUCAAUAUCCAGCUAGGAACCUGCUGUGAUUCCUAACUUGGUGGGAUGUGUGAAGACCCAUAUUGAACCAACUUGUACUGGACUUCCAAAAUUCAGUGUACCCCGCCCAUCCACAAUUAUCUCAUUGUUACCAAUCACCUGGAUUUCUCAGACCCAAUGACCAGGAUCGGAAAGUUGGAAUACAAAAUUUUCCCAAGAUAAAAAUGUUGCAUGUGCAAGUCAAUUCCACUAAAAGCCCAUUGAUAAAGUUUGAAGAAUGUUCAUAUGUUGCCAUUUGGUAUGGUUGGAUAGAUCUUCUCGAGACCUUUCAAACGAUAUAAAGAUCAUUAAUUUUGGACUUGAGACAAGAAAAUUAAGCCCUCCCAAAUUUAGAUGAAAAUAUGUUUUUUUAGUGAAAAUUUGUAAAAUUGAAAACUUCAUAAGAUGAUAACUUCUUUCACAUUGUGUUUCAUGAUGCCCAUUUGUUAUGGUUGGAUGAAUCUUCUCGAGACCUUUCCAACAAUAUAAAGUACAUAAAUUUUGGCCUUGGAAUGAAGAAGUUAUGGCCUCCUGAAAUAUUGAUAAAAAAAAUCCGAAAAUUAUGUUUGUUUUUUUUUUUUAAAGAUGAACAAUACUUUUUUUCCAUUUUUUAGUCUCGAUCGGAUCUAUUUGGGUCCAGAACACAAUUUUAAAAGCUGAUAUUAUGAAAUCUGACCACACAGAUGAACUUAGAACGUUAAGUGUAGUGGGUGUUCAAUGCCCAUUUUUUUUAAUUUAAAAAAGGGGUUAAAAGUUGGAAUGUCAAAUAAAAUUACUGUUUGACAUUUUCAAAUGAAUUUUAGAAAAUUGUAAAUUGGUCCCUCAAAUAUUCUUGAUUUUUAUGUGCAAUUAAAAUUAAUUUUUAGAUAAUCAAAAAUAUUUUCUUGGACUCGAUUAAAUUCUAAAUUUUUUAUAAAAAUCGAGAAUAUUUGUUAAGCAGUAUUUGCCUAGUGGGAGUUAUUUUUUUUUUUUUGAAGUGUUUCAUUUUCAGAUGAAAAAUACUCCGAAAGUAUUUAAAAUACCGCAUUAUAUAUACGUUCAUGAGUUGUGUGAGUCUUAACUAGGUUAUGUGAUCCAUUGUGACUUGUUUUCAUUUUUUUUGUGCUUGAUCUAAUAUGGCUAGAUCUGUGCACAUUUAUAGCAUCCUUAGAAGGAAUGCUAAAAAACCAAAGGCUAUGAAAUUUGUUGAAAUGUUCCAUACUUAUCGAGAUAAAUGAAUGGAUUUGGAACAUGACCUAUUAUGGAAUACGUAAAUAUUUUGGGAUUUAAGUUUUUGAUGACAAGCAGAAUAUAAUAAUUCUAACGUCACUUCCCAGUUAUUAGGGCUGUGUUGCGAUCGAGAUUUAGAUGGGAUUGAGAAUUUGUAAAAUAAAACUUCAAUGAUGUUAGCUUUGUUUUUGAAUUAUAAUUGAAGUUAUCUUCUGAAAGAAUUAAUUUGUUAUAUCAUGAUGCAUGUCAUGAUUGGAUAAAUGUGCAUAUUUAUGUUUUUAUUGCAUAUUAUGAAAUUAUCUAAUUGAAUACAUCAUGUAUUGUUAUAAAUGUUAAGGUCAAUAGAAUUAGUAAUAUUCUUACUUAAACCUAUUGAUUGUCAGUUGAGUGAUAGUUCAGUGAUUGGAAGAUUUAGAGAAAAUCUCACCAAGAACCAUUUGAUUCAUCGACUGAGUGGGAGUUCUGAAAUUGGAAGAAUUAAUGUGAUUCUCACUUAGAACCCGUAGAAUUUUGCAUUAUUAAAUUAAGUUUAUGAUAGUGAAACGAUAGGGUUGCGGACGAUGAUUGGGAACAUAGUGAACUUUCGACUCUGUGCCUAACGUUGAACUAUCGUAGAUGUUAAUUUACGUUAAUGCAAAAUUAAAUAUGUGCAUAAAUGGGCAUUAAUUAAGAAUAACAUGUCUCAAAAAAUCUGAUAGAUCAUGGCAUCAAAAUCUAUAGAAGUUAACCUUAAUAAAGGUGAUAAAUUAAAUGCAAUAAUAUUUGGCAUGAUAAGAUUUUAAAUAUACCAGAGCAUCAACCACGUAACCUUAUGUAGGUCAUACUACUCUAGAGAAUAGAGAUCAGAAUCGAACUUAGUCGAGUACGGGAAAAUGUGAAUUUUAGUACUCGAGCAUUUAAAUUGUUAAGUUAUGUUAUAAAUGAUCUUUUUUCUCAAAUGUGACUUAGAUGGUGGUUAGCAUAAUGUUAACAUUUUCAUUGGUCCCAUUAAUUUUAGAUGAGUAGUAAAUUCAAAUUAGUCUCUUCUUAAUUUAUGAAAUUUUGAAAGUUAUUGUGACUUACAAAUUAAAAUGUCAAUUUUUUUCUAUUUAUACUACCCGCCAUGUGAGUUAAAAGAUAUGCGACUUGAUGUUGCUAAGUCUCGAGGACAUACUUGUGUAGCAAUGAUCUAGUUUGUAUAAAAUUUUUAAUCUUAAGCAUUGAAUGAGCUAGAACAAUUGCGGGAUAGAUGUGGGAGACUGGUAAAGGGACCAAGACGAACUAUCAGAUAGUAAAUAAAUGAAAGUGGUUUUGGUAGAGGAUCAGUGUUAUAAAGGUUCAAGUGCUUCAACUAUACGAUUUGAAUCUCUUAGCUAAAAAGUGGUUAAGUUAAAAUAUAUUGCACUUGAAUAUAUUCAUCUUAGUGUUGUUUACGUGUCAACACUAUACAUAUUGGAUCUUAUCUUGUGUGGAUAGUGGAUUCAAAGGUUAGAAACCCACUUUGUAUGAGAUCAAAAGGUAUAUUAUUCUAUUGUCGAGUCUUUGACUUGAUACAAAGUAGAUAUAUACAAAUAAUAAAGAUAGAGUGGAUGUUUAUAUGAGUGAUACUGGAAUUUAGUAUUGUAAAGUGGAGAAUCUGACAUCCUAUUUGAUAUUAAGAUAAUAUCAAAGACUCCACUAAAUUUUGUCUCAGUUAUUGUUCUUCUAAGAGUGGUCUCUUACUUGAACUUAUGCGUGGUAUUUCUAUUCAUACUCACAGUAGUGAUGUUUAUUAUGGUUCUGGAUAUUUGUGCAAUUGUGUGAGGUUUUGAGUUGAGAAAACCAUUCAAAACUGUAAGAGCUAAAUUUUAGUAGAAUAAAUCCAUCCAAAUUUCUUUGCGGACUGUGAUUAAAAGAGAUAGAGAUGGAACUUUACUUUUCAUUACAUUUAUAGAUAGAUUCACGCAUUUCAACUAUGCCUCUGAUCUUCUUAAAUUGAAGAUAUUGCACUGGUUUAGAUUUUUCUGAAGUCAAGUAGAAAAUCAGAUUAUGGAAGUGAAGACUUUGAGAAUUAUCUGAUGUCAUGACUCUCUAUCACAAGAUAUCAAUGAUCUAUGCAAUGAAAGAGAUUCUUAUUUGAUAGACUAUUCCUUAAUCACCAAUAAUUAUAUGGUGUAUUUGAUUGACGAAACGAAAUAUUGCUAAAUGUGAUGAGGUUUAAGAUAUACAGUCCAACUUAUGUAUUUGCUUUUGAAAAGAGUGUUGCCUAACUACAACGUAUCAGUUAAUGGAGCUCUCUCAAUGUUGGUAAAUUUAUAAUAUAUAAGUUUGGACACGUAAAUAAUCUAAUGUGGGUUAUCAUAAACUCUUAAUAGACUUUAUAUGUUCUCGAUAAUGAGUAUGGGAACAUGAGUCUGUUAAGAACAAGAUGUGUCUCAAUGACAUACAUGUAGUCCAAAGAGGAACUGAAGUGAAAUUUUUGGAUAGAUAUCGAGUUAUAAGAUAUGACAUUUGACAUUUUUCCCAAUAAGGGAGAAAAAGUUGGAGAACAUCGUUGAAAUUGAUAUUAUUUGUAUUGAUGAAUCAGUUUUGAAUGUAUAAGAGAUGAUUCAAACUUCUAAUUCAAGUGGGAGUAAUCUGCUUCCGAGUUGGACUUAUCUAUUCAAAUGGGAGCCAUAUAAGAACUGUCUAAUUUCAAUGAUUCUUGGUUCCAAGUUGGAUCUAAGAGCUAGUUCAGAAAAUCAAAAGAGGACUUUCGAGAAAAGUGAUGGAAGUCUAUAGAUGGAGAAUAUAAUUUCAACCUAAUCUGGAUAUAGUGAAAGUCCUAUGCGGACAUUAUAUUUACCGAAAACAUUCAGGUUCUUGAAAGUUAAGUGGAAGACUAGUGAGUUUCUGAUAGAUAAAGCUCAUUUUUUAAAAAAGGUUAUACCCAAUGUGAGUGUAUUGAGUUGAAUAAAUUUUUUCAUAAUGAUGGGAUUCACUUCUGUACAUCAAUGCUAGCCGUGAUGAUAUGUUUAAAUUUAGAGUUACACCAAAUCGACCUAGAGACUGUAUCUUUUAUUCUCAAUUGAGAAAUGAUUAAAGAUAUCAACAUGAAUCGAUUUUUUAAUUACAUGUUAAAGCCUUUUUUUUGUAUAAUGGUAACUUUAUAGUUACACGCAUGGCCAAAUACAGUCAUCUCGACAGUCGUACUUGAGUUUUUAACAGGGUUAAAUCUCCUACAAGAAUUUCAUUUAAUGGACGAAAAUUAUUGUAUUUGUAUAAAAGGUCUGACGGUAGGUUGUAAUUCUAAUAUUGAUAUUGAUGACAUUGAAUUGGCUAAACAUGAUAAGGAGUGUAUAGAGAUCAAUUUGAAAUGAUUGUCAUCAUUUUUUGAGACAAAAGACAUGGGUUUAGCAAAUUGUAUGAUUUGUGCUAAGAAUAUUUUUCGUAUAUUCUUGCUCUAUCAUAAGAGUUUUAUACUAUAUAUGCUCAUGUGAAAUUGCAACUGUGACCAUAUAAGUCUUCAUAAAUAUCCAAAGAUUUCAUAAGUGCAUAAAAAGAUAUAUCCAGAGAAUCAUAUCUAGUACAACUAAGAGUCAGGAGAUAGAAGUAUACUAUGAUAUAUACUUUUCCUAACAAUGAUCAUGCCACGGAUCUAAUCAGUAGGUAUCAAUAUUAUCUUUAGAAAAUGUAUUGUGAUACCUGAAGGGUGCUGCUGUCAGUUAUUCUAUUUCGUUGUCAAAGAAAUAACUUAUGAUUGGAAUAGAUAUACAAUUGUUGACUAAGAAUGAGAGUUAGUCGAGCACAAUUAGUUAUUUGACUUGUGCGCUUUUGCUAUAUAAAGUAGCAAGAAGCAUAUGUUGUUAUGUAUAUCUUCGCAGCUAAAGACAUUGUUUGGUAUGGAUGUAUUGAGCAUCUAAUGAUAGUAGGUGAGAAUAUGAGAUCCAUGGUAGUUACGCAACUAUCUUAUAUGUUAAGAUCUCAAGUAUCAAAAUAGAACCAAACACUUACUGGUAAUUAUGUGAGAGAAAUUAGCAAAGAAAGUGUUUUUGCGAUAUAUCUACGUAAAUAAUGAUAUGUAAUCAUCAUACUCUGAAGAUGUUUAGAGAUAUAUUUGUUGAUAAUAUGGAAUCUCUACAAUUUCGUAGAAUAUGAUACUUGGUGUAUCAGAUAAACUCUUGAUUGAGUUUUGUGUGCCCAAAGAUUAACGAUUUUGAGUUCAUGUGUAAUCUAAUAUUGGGAUUAUAAGAUAAAUGAUUUGUAUGCACAUAUAAAGUAUAUCGAACGGGUUGAGAUUGGCUUACUCACACAAGCAAUCGCCUCAGACGUUUUAAGAUGAGAUGAAAUGAGACACAGUGAUCAUGUUGUGUACAUGAUCCAGUCGCCUUGAUAGUAAUCAUUUUGUUUACAUGAUCCAGUCACUUUGAUAAGGUAUCAAAAUGAUAUUACAACAAGUAAUUGAAAUGAAUUUCGCUAUCCAUUAAACCCGUUUAGUAGCCAAAUCGAGUUCUCAAUUUGAGAAUGCCUAGAUGAAUGAACAUAAGGAGAACUCAAGUUAAGUAUCGAGGAAUACUUGAACUAGGAUCUGUACGAUAUUCUUUGUUUACAAAGAAUAUGACAAGGCCCUAAGAAAGGGAGAAACAUCGUAGCACGUGUUUCAUACCGCGUGUGCUUUUACGACCAAUAUUGGGUAAAUGAGUAAAUGGAUCCCUGCUUCCUCAUUGUGUGAGACCCUGAGGUUUAUGUAACCUCACAUAUACCCUUAUGACUUUUGACUGUUUAUUGAGGUUUUAUUUCAGUGUUGCUACUUUAGUAUGUUGCCAAUGACUAUGAUUGAUUCGGUUUGAUGGGGUAUGUCUAGGAAAGCAGCUGAUUUAAAAUCGAAGGAUUUAAGUAGGAAAGGAAAACUAUUUUGACCAACAUUUAUUUUUGUAUUCACCGGCCGGACAAUUGUGUUAAACUAUUUGGGGUAUAGAAUGCAAUUGUGAAUACAAUGAUAUGAUGCGGAGUUCUAGUAUGUUCCACAAAUACUCGAGGGAUCAGAAAUACUUGAAUUAAUGUUAAAAAAUGAGUUUGGGGCAUAGCGAGAUGUGAUGUUCCUCCCGUACUAGAGCUACUAUAUAUUCCUAACAGUUUUAUAGUACCGUGAGCUCUAAUAUUACUCGUUGGUCGCACGAUCUAUUUACCAUAUGAAUUUUUGUGAGAUAGAUCUUGCAAAGGAUCUAAGGUGCGACAUUUCACUUGUGGUUCGGAUCAACCCCAUUAUGUGUGAGUGAGAGAUGUUGAAAAAUCCGGAUAAUGGAUCGUCCAUGUGGGGUGACCCAACCCGCAGGAUUUUAUAAGGGUUAGAGGGAGUGGUUUGAGUUUGAAUUUAGAAUUCAAACCCAUAACUCCCAAGUAACCACUUGAAACUUCCAUAUCGAAGUUAUGGAAAAGAGGGAGGAAAUGCAAGACAUGAGAAAAAUGGUGAAAAAAUUCGUAUGGAAAUUCACCUCUAAAUUGGAAAGUUCCUAGAAUCACAUUUUUGCAUGAAAUCUCACAAGAAAUGGCACUUAGAUUGUGAACAAUAAUCUCCUUUCAGUGAUUGGGAUUUGGAUCACUGGAGUACAAGAAAAUACAAAUUUGGAGAUUUGAAAGCAAUGUGAUUCAACCACAUAAAGAUCUUGAAGUUCAUCAUUUCAAGUAAGUUUGUUGACCCGAAAUUCAUGUCAAAACAUGCUACGAUUUUCCUACAGUUUCAUUUAGCACCAUUUGUUUGGUUUAUGUUAUUAUUUCUUCCCCUUUCUCCACCUGUCAUGCUGUACAAACAUUUGCCCCACUUUUAUCAUAUAUUUAGUUAAUGUAAAUGUAGAACUUAGAAGUGACAACUUAUAUUUGUACUAGCAGUUUUGACACGAGUAUUUAAAAGUAUGCAUUUUAUGUAUUUCUGGAUUUUCAUCUUGAUCAAAGCCCUUUGUAUUUAAUUAUUUGAACUGGUUUAUUUUGUUUGUCUAGGGGGAUUGCAAGCAUUUAAUUGUAUUGAGAGACAUGAGGUUGAUUCACCCAGAGGAUGUACAAAACCGAGCAGCCUAUCCUAGAGAUGGCAAUGGUUCGAUUUUGGUUUGGUUCGGCCAAAACCAUCACCAAACCGUCAAAUUUUUUAUCAUACCAUAACCGCACUAUAACCACAUAAAUCGGUUCGGUUUGGUUCGAUUAAUAACCACGAAAACAAAUUAUUUUUUAUAAGUCCAUUCAUCAAAUUGAUAUAAAACAAUUUAUGAAAAAAGAGUUAAUGAAAACAAACACACAAUAUUCCAAACGAAAAUGCAAACAUUAUCCCAAAUUUCAAUUGCAAAAUACAAAUUUAACAAACAAUAUUAUGAAUAUAACAAUACUAAACUUUUCCUUCAUUCUUGAUUCUUGUGCAUUGUAGUUACUUGAUUCAUGCUCAAUAAUUCAAAAGCUUCAACCUUAACUCAUAUUCAAUCUUAUUCUUCCCCACAACUCUUAUUAACAUAGGUCAACACUCAAAAUUAAUUCCUAUAUAGUAAAUAAGAAAUGUAAAUAGAGAAUACAACGAUACUACCUAAUCCAGCAUGAUUUUAACUAAGAUUUAAAUUUAAAAAAUGUACAUUUUCGUCAAUUUCCUUCUCACUAAACAUUGUCAUCUCUAAUAAAAGAAUGAUUUUUUAAAGUGGGUAAUCGGUUCAAUUUCGGUUCGACGGCAUAAAUACAAUACCUGCACCGCCACGAACCGGUUCAUUAAAAUCAAAUACCGUAUCCACUCCGUUGCACCAUCGGUUCGGUUUUUUCGUCCCAUUUGGUUCAGUUAACAUCAAUUUUUGAUUUUAAUGGUUCAAAUUGCCAUCCCUAACUUAUCCAUUGGCAACAUUUCAAUUCAAGUUGCAUUAUCGGAAAUGCUCUGCUUGCAAGAUUUACUGAGCAGAAAUGGUGACGGUGGACGACAAGUGGGCUCCGGAGAACCCUUGCUACUUUUGUGAUAUUUGCUAUUACAUGCUUCACCACGAAAAUGGUUCUCUGCUGUAUAGUGAUUUCUCUGUUUACGAUUAUCAUCUUGAAUAGUUGUUUUAAGUCAUUGGUCAAUGGAAAGGAUAAUUUCUGCAAUAUUUAUCCUGCUCUUGUAAGGGAUGAUUCAAGUUUUGUAAAACCUUUUAGCAUGUUUGGCAGACUUGAUUAGACUGUGUAAGAUCAUAUUUCCUCAAUCUGGCAUUUGGGUUAGAUGGUACUCGAAUAUCCUGAUAGUUUUUACUGUCUAUCUUGAUCAUCUAGAUGGAUUUAGACAUUCAAUCUCAUGCUAGUCAUGGGUCAGUUAUAGCCUAUGGGGCAAAUCAGUUUUUCUUUGCUCGCUCACUCUCUUAACUAUGUGCUCCUUCAAUUAUAGCAUGUUUGUUAUCAGGGAUUAGAUAGCACUGAGGAAAAAACUCUUGUUCAUUGUAUUGACUAAUUAUGUUCAAUACUGUUAGCAAAUAGAAUAAGAAAUGGCAGAAAUCAAGAGUAUUUAUUAGCUGAAAUGUAAAACAAUAUGAUUUCAUUUACUGCUAGUUGAGGGGACAUAUGAAUGUAAUUGGUAAGAUACCUAAUGACAAUCCUAUCCGAUCAAUAUCUAGUUACAAGAAAUCUAUAAGAUUACAAGAAAUGGCACAAGUAAUAGACUAUAGCCAUGCAAAUCUUUAGCCUAUCUUCUGUUGGGAUCGAGGUGUUGUAAAGAAUGAAGUUAAUGACCCGAUAUGAAGUAUUAAGGAUUGCAACAACAUAAAAAUAUAUCAAUGUAUAAAGUAAAGAAGAAAAAAGAGGAAUUAACACAGAUGCAAGAUGUAUUAUUAAUUGACAAUGUGGAGAGAAUACAACGCCACAACAAUAUUGGCUUCUACUAAACUGAAAGAAGAGACCUAUAUUUAUAAUACACGAGUCAAAGGAGACUUAUAUUUAUAGUACACGAGUCAAACCCUAAAAAUAGGCAAAAGAUGGAAAUUAGGAAGAAAAUCAUGUAAAAGAAAAAGAAAGGAAAAACGUGUGGUAUACAAGAAAAUUUGUUCCUUUCUUGGCUCCAAUUUGAUUCUUUCCAUAUCCUUCUUGAAUCCAAUAUGGUAUCUUUCCAAAACCAACAUGAUCACGUAAUCUUCCAAAUAUUUGACCAAAUUUUGAGGUAUCAAUUCAACAUCUCCUAGCCAUGAAAGGAUCAUGCUAAUCCUAACUCUCAACACUGCUAGUCUUACAACAUAUGGGAAUGGCAUCUGCACCAUCGUUUCUAUCUCUUUUGUCCGUUAUGCUAAUAACAGUUUCACCUGUCCUCACGUGUUCUUCAUCUUCGUUGUCGACAUAGCUAAACUCCAAUCGAACAUGUCUCGACUUGCCUAAAUAUAAUGGAAUUUUCCUCUCCUUGCCACAUCUAAGUUCUUCGAUCUUGACGAACUUAGCACUUUCCCCAAUCCUCAACUAGAUGUCUCUGAUCGCACCUCCGAGAGUUCUUGUUAGGAAUUAUUUGAAGGCAUUCAUGAUAAACUCAUUUGAAGUGUCGUAUCCAAACCCUACUUGGAAUCGAUGGAUUUUAACCAGAACUUCCAUGUCAAAUCAAUGAUAGAAUCGAUGAUAGGAUCUUGAGGGAUUGUCGGACAAAUGCAGGAUACAUGACUCCGGGUUUUUGUGGAGACAAUCACCUAGUACCUUUACUCCUUUCUUUAGCCCUUCAUUGGAUCCGCUUGUCCUAUAUAGAAUAAUCGAUCAAUAACUUGUAAUGAUGUUCGCUUUCCAUAUGAAGUCAUGCGACUGAGACGAAAAAUGCGUGCUGCAGUAGAUGAUUAGGUAAUUGUGGCUAACACGAUACCACGAGUGCCAUGGAUUGCUUCAUGAGCCUCCGGUGUGGCCCACUCAGGCUUGCGACUAGAACCAAAUUAGUUGUGGGUUGAUGUGCUAACUUUACACAAAGAUAAGCUCUAUUAUUUUUGGAGCAGAGAAAGGAAUUUCCACCAGUUGUGGGACAAUGUUGUACGGCAUGUGGUGAUUUUUUCAUUAGAGAAGAACUAGACAAAUGAUGCUGUGAUGGAACUAGAGGGAGAUGGAGACGUGGUUGAUCAGUCUCGAUCGGAUCAUCAUCAUUAUCAUAUCGAGCAGCUUUUAGAAACGAUCGCCUGUGAACCUAAAAAUUAGCAAUUGAAUCGCCAAGGAUCCUUAGAAGAGGAUCGAUCUUGUUGUAAUGGAGUGAAUAUCGAGUAUUUAGGUUGCGAGUUAGCUGAGUCCAUUGUGCACGGAAAAUUGGGCAAGUAACACUGCCGUGGUUAACAUUUUUUAAAGUGCUUUAUCUAAUAAUAAAAAUUUUAGGGCCUGUUUGUGAUUUAGCCCCCCGUUUCACCCCCAUUUUUGUGACAAUGAAAAUUGAUGGAAGAGUAUUUUUUUUUUUAAAUGAGUGGUUGAAAAAAAAGGAAAAGAUUUCGAUUUACGUGUAAUAUUAUUUUAUGGAAGAUUGUGUGGUUGAAAAUAGAAGAGCGAAAAAUGAAAUGUAAUGGAAUGGGAAUUAAUGGGGGCCAAAACGGGUUAAUUUCAAAAGGUGUAUUAUGAAAUAGUGAUUGAUAUUGAAAUGUGUGGUUAAAACGGAAGAAUUUUUUUUUAUUUAUGUGCAAUAUUAUUUUAAUGAAGAAUGUACGGUUAAAAAUGAGUACUGUAAAAAAAAAUGCGGUAGAAUGCGAUAGAAUGAUUGACAAACAAAGGUUUAAAGUUUUUAGAUGAAGACAAACUAAGAUAACUUUUAAUCAAGAAUUCGUUUUGCAAAAAGUAAAAGCAAAAUCUUACCUAAUGCGUCUUAAAUUAUUUAUAAAUAAUCAAACUUCAUUUUUAAUCACACAUUUUAAUAAAUCCAUAAAUAAUAUUUGCUUAUCCACUAAUCAUUUUUACCUAUUUUUAUAAAUUAAACCAUUUAUAAGCUCCCAAACGUAGGUUUAAUUUUGACGAGGGGCACAUUUUUAGAUAUGAGAUUUAUUAUUGAAUUAAUAUAUGCUACAAAUUAUUAUCAAAUAGUGACAGUACGCAGUCAAAUUAAGAAAAUGAAGCAAAAAAAAAAGAAAGAAAGAAAGAAAGAAAGAAAUAGUAUAAGUACUGGAAUGGAAAGUGGAAAAGGUUGGUUAGUAUCAAUUAACAAUUAUCCCUAUAUAUUGAAUAGUAAACUUUAUUGACAGAAAAACAUUAAUAUUUGAAUACAUGAAUCCCUACAAUUGAGAAAAUCGUAAUUUAAAUUAAUAUUUGUUUAUUUGAAUUUCAAAUAAAUUUUAUUAUAGUUUUUCACAUAAAUGUAUUUUUUUAUAUACUUGUCGAACAAUAGUCCUUUUUUUACAACGUUGCUUUCUAUAGUGGAUCCUUGAAAGUGUAAAUGACCACAUGAUAUUUACUAUUUUUUUAAUAUCAAAAGAAAAUUAAUGAAUUCUAUCAACAUCUUUUAUCUAAAGAAUUUAAAAACAUUAGUAAAUAGAAAAAAGUAAGUAGAGUCUAAUAAAGUGUUCUCACUUCCAAAGAAAAUGUUAAAAUACUUGGAACAUUUAAGCAAGAAAAAUCGAUUGGACGGAUUAGUUGUAAUUAUUUAUAGAGUAAUCUACACGGGGUCGGCCUUGAUAAUUUUAAGGUUCUAGGCGAUUAUUUAUUAUGAGGCCCUUGUACAUAAAUUUUUUAAUAAGCGUAACAACAUUAAAUAUUUAAAUAAAUAACAUAUAAGUAGGAUCCNNNNNNNNNNNNNNNNNNNNNNNNNNNNNNNNNNNNNNNNNNNNNNNNNNNNNNNNNNNNNNNNNNNNNNNNNNNNNNNNNNNNNNNNNNNNNNNNNNNNNNNNNNNNNNNNNNNNNNNNNNNNNNNNNNNNNNNNNNNNNNNNNNNNNNNNNNNNNNNNNNNNNNNNNNNNNNNNNNNNNNNNNNNNNNNNNNNNNNNNNNNNNNNNNNNNNNNNNNNNNNNNNNNNNNNNNNNNNNNNNNNNNNNNNNNNNNNNNNNNNNNNNNNNNNNNNNNNNNNNNNNNNNNNNNNNNNNNNNNNNNNNNNNNNNNNNNNNNNNNNNNNNNNNCCUCAUGAGGCCCCCAACUUUGGAGGGCCAAUUGGAGGCCCUAAACCAUUGCCUUAAUUGCUAUGCUUCAAGGUCGACUUUGAUACUACUUGUAGAUCAUUUUGUACAGAUUGUUGAUGCACUAAACUUUUUUGAAAGAAAAUAGGCAGGCAACGUGAUAUAAUUGGAAAUUAACAAAAUUUGAUUUGCUUAUAUUUUAUCUGCCCACACCAAUCAAUAUGAUAAAUGAUAAAAUUAAAAUUGUAGAAGUUGAAAAAGCUACUAGUUGACUUCAUUACUAGUUGACUUCAAUCAUAAUUGGGCCAACAAACUGGGCCAAACUCCAUAUGGCCUGGCUAACGGGCCUCAAAUAUGUUGCUGGAUGAUUUUGAUACUUGCCCUACUUCUCUUUGAAGAGCUAAAAGAUUCCUACUUUUUAAUUUUCUAGAACAAUACCUUAUUUUCAUUAAAAUCAAAAAUUGUUUUCACAAUUUACCUGCUUUUAUAAUUUUACAAGAAAUACCUCAUUUUCAUUUAAAAAAUUAAUAUUACAUUUUUCCUUGGGAAACAUUUUUACACAGGUAACAUAUUAUGUACCAUAUAUUAAUUAAAAAAUAAAUUUUUUGCACGGGUAACAAGUUCUAUAUUAUCAUAUAUCAAUUUUUUAUUAAAAAAUUAAGUUUUUAUAUGGAUAAUAUAAUUUUUUUUAAUUAAAAUUCAAUGUUUAAAACAUUGUUUCAUUUCAUCGAAAAAGUUACAUUUUAUAGGAUCUUAUGUUGUGUUACACAAUGUUAUUUUUAUUUAUAAACAUUCCUUCUUACAUAGGUAACAUAUUGUGUUAUUCUUACUUUUUGUUAAACCAACAUCAUCUACAAAACACAUCCAUCAUCAUCGCCCUUGCACUACCCAUCACCAUCACCAUCACCCUCCCCAAACUAGUUUAUCUAAAACAUCACCUUCGAUCACCACCAUCCCACUUGGAAUCAAGCUCCCAACACAAUUUUUAACCGCCACCAACUUCAUAGCCAACAACAUCAUCUGAAAAACACCAAUGUAAUAAAUAUUAUUAUGUUACCAACACAUGUCACAAGGAUAAUGUAUUAUGUUACCAACACGAAACACAAGGUUAAUAAAUUACAUGUGUAAAACCACCCAAUAUCAUGUCCAUGAUGAAAAUAUAAUACCACUAGAGAAGACGAAGGAAGCACAUUCGCGGGGAUAGAGAGAUUCAACAAUUAAGGUAUAGAGACCUUGAGGGCCCUUUUCUUUUUCUUUUUUUUUUUUGGUGUCCCUUCCCAUACUUCAAAUUCAUUGCCAUUUGACCAAGAAUUUUCGAUUCUCAAGUAACACAUAGUAGUGAAGAGUAGCCAGUAAGUGUCGUGUGAGAGGGCGGAGGUGGUGAUGGAGCAUCACGGUAGCAGAGUCGGCUCUAAAAUUUUGGGGCCUUAAGCCAACUUUAAAUAUGAGGCCCCUUUAAAAAAAAUUAAAAAAUAAAAACUGUUAAUAAAAAAAUUAUUCAAAAUUACAGAAAUAUUGUAAAUUUAUGAGAUAAAUACUGAUGACUAUUUAGGUUUAUCGUAAUACUUAGAUAAAUCUUAUUUUUACAAGAGUCUAUUUACUAUAUUAUAACUCUCCUUUUGAACCUAUAAAUAUGGGUCCACUUUUACAAUAAAAUUAUAUACUCGAGUUUUUAUUCUCUCUCUCUCUCUCUCUCUCUCCCCCCUUUUCUUAUAUUUCUUUCCUAUUUAUUUAGUUUUAUAAUACAUUAUCGGCACGAAUAAGCUUAUGCUAGAAUAGACAAAAAAUUUGAUUUGACAUUGUAGAAAUUCACAAGAUAUGGACUGCCUGCUCGAUUGCGAGCAAAGUGUUGAUAUCUCAGCAUUUCAUUGUCCAAUCAUAAUGAAAUUUGGACAGAACAUUCAAAACAUACUGUUCUUCAAAUCAAUAGUUAAGAUCAAAACUCAACAAUUCAUUUCUAAAAAAUAGCUACGUGAACAAACAAUAGCGAAUUUUUAAAGUACUAUAAAUUUUUUCAAAUUUAAAUCUUUGAAAUCUUUUGUGACGAAUAGCUACGAUUAAGGUUUUUAAAGCUUUCAAAUCUAAAUAAGUCUAUAAGUAUUUUCAUUAUAUUAUAUAUCAUAUUUGUGUAGUUUUAGACCGAUUAAUUUUUUUGUUUUAACUAAUGCUCUGAACAAGCAUAUGUUUGUAUUUUGAUACGAUAUGGUAUUAUUGAUCCUAAAGGGCACGAAUUUACAUUCUUUAGCAUUUUCAAAAAGUAUAUGUUAUUAUUAGCUUUUUUGAAAGGGCACUAAUAUUCAAUGAUAUUUAUGCUCCUGAAAAAGCAAAAAAUACAUUCUCGAAAAAAUAUAACAUAAGUUAUAUAAACAUUUCAAAAGAAUAUCGUUUUAUCACAAAGUGUAAGAUUAAGACUACGAAGACCACAUGAUAUGUAAAAUGUUUUUAGAUUUACAUCUAGUACUCCUUUCUAUAAACAGUCUUGCUUCCCUUUUAUAUUAAAUGGGAUAUAGAUCUAACAAGUAGAAAACUGACAAAUUUAAUACUUUCAUAUCAUUAUCAAAAAACGAAUAAAUUUAAAAAUACCAAAAUGAAAAAAAUAAGAAUAUCCAAGAGGGAAAAAGUUCAAAAUUUAAAAAUAAAAUAAAAUUAUACAUAUAAAUAUUACUAUCAAAAACUGUAAGUGUAAGCCAUAGAGUUUGCAUAGGGUUGAAUUUGGCGAUGGAUAAUUAAUAGGUGUCUAUCAAACUAGCAAAUUUCUAAUUAAAGAUGACUAGUAAGUAUAAAAAAUAAAAUAAAACUUGAAAGAUCUCUCAACCCAAAAAAAAAAAUGACAAAGAGAAAUUAAUGAGAAAAAAAGGAGGAGAAAACAAAGUGACAACCUAAAAACAAGAAAGAAAGAAAGAAAGAAAGCACAAUGGAAAGUCAAUAAUGUAUUCAAAAAAAAUUUUACACUUUGAAAAAUUCUAAUAUAUAUAUAUAUAUAUAUAUAUAGACACACACAAAAAAGAAAGAAAGAAAGAAAGCACAAUGGAAAGUCAAUAAUGUAUUCAAAAAAAAAAAAUUUACACUUUGAAAAAUUCUAAUAUAUAUAUAUAUUUUCAGUUCUUUAUCAUAUAUAUCUAAUUUAAAAUUUUCAAGCUCUUACCAAAAGCAGAGUCUUAGCCAAUCGCCUACCCCAUCUACACUUAGAGCCGUCAUUGCUUGGUAGUUAAAAAUUAGUAAACAAGAAGUGCUUCUUUGUGCCAUAGAAAACAAAUCUGAGUUCUUGACACCUUUCCCCAGCACCACUACUAGUGUAACUCUCUCUCUCUCUCUCCCUUCCUUUUUUUUUUUCAGCACAAAGGAAGGAUGUGAUAUGAUAUUCUGCUGUUGAAAAAUUCAAAAAUUUUGUACGUGUGGUGUGUGAAGGCUUGGUCUUGGCUAAGGCCACCUAGACAAUGGUUGAGGGCCUAAAAAUUUGUUGGGCCUAAAAAAUAAUUAAAAGUGCAACUACAUUUUUCCUUUAUUUUUAUUUUUUUAAAUUGGGCCCUCCGAUCAUUUAAAAGGCAUGGCAAAAUUACAAGAUGAAAAUAGACGAAAUUAGGCCAUAUGCCCCAUUUUUUAAAGAGUUUUGAUUAAUACCUUCAAAAUUAUUUAAAUAUUUUAAAGAAGUAUUAUUUACGUCCUAAAUUGAUAAAAUAAAAUCAAAACUGAACCCAAUUCUACAACAAGUCCUAAUUCCCUAAAACUCCUGAUGCCCUAAUCGUAAACUCCUAAAUCACAAAAUUCAGAAGCCAUCCCUUCUCUCCAACAACAUUCAAUUGUAAAUCUCCAUUUUCAACCCACUUUCCAUCAAUUUCUUCUUCAUUUUUCCUCUGUAACCAUUCAUUUCCGUUCAUUUUCCCUUCAUAACUGUGUAAAUCUCGUAUUUCUGCAAUGUCUGAGAAAAGUGGAUCGAAGAGGAGGCAAAGAAAUCUCGAAGAACCAUCCUCAAAGAAGAGGACCAAAAUUUCUUCAUCUUCUUAUAAACCGAAGGUAGCAACAUUUUUUUAUGUGUUUUAUUGAUUUAUAUUGCGUACAUUGUCUUGUUCUUUACGAUUUUUGUAUGUUUCUCAAUGGUUUUUGAACAUUUUGUUUAGUGAUUGCAAAUUGUGUAGUUGUCUCAAUGAUUUUAGUACAUUUUACUGAUUUUAGUACAAUUGUUGCUACUGUGGGUUUUGGUUUUGGUGAUACAUUUCACAUUUUAUUCUCCUGCGUAGCACUUGUCUUUUUAUUGUGUUAUGUGAUUCUCCAUUUAAGCUAAAAACAUUAAUUCCUGCUUCCAUAUUCUUGUGAUUCCCCUAGUGAGUUUACUAUGCUAUUUUGCCUAUAGUAUUUAAUAGUGACAGAGCCAGCAUUCGUGUCCAAUGAACAUUCUAAAUCUACAAUGUGUAUGUAGAAGCUACCAUCACUAUAGGCUACAAGGCAAACUGUCUGUCAUAGUGGCAUUUAAGUUUACCCCUGUAUGCAAUAGCUUGAAGCAUGACUAAAACUCUGUCAAUUCAUCAUUACACCCUUGAAAACCAUAUUGUGGGAUGCCAAAAAUUAUUGUUCUUUCUGAAUAUUUUUAGAAAAGUGAGUUUGAACAUCAAAGCAUCUUUAGAAAAGUGUCAAGGCAUGGCACAAUCACAAUCAGUUGGCUAGUGCUUAUACAAGUCAAAAACACGUUGAUUGUUAACACAACUACUGGCUUGAACUUUUGAGUAACUAGUCUAUGAAAGCCUGUUAUUUGAUCCACCUUCAGUCCAGGCUAUGAUUGUAAACCAAAUCUUAUGAGACUUUUAAAAAAACUAACUAUAUUUUUUCACAAAUGUUCAUCGUUUCUGGUUGAUGGGAAGUGGAGAAUAGAAUGCAUUUUUUAUCUGAUAAAAUUUUUUAUUUCGUUUUUCUUGUAUAAUAGCACUUUCCGUUUUUCCUGUAUAACUAUAGUUUGGUUUUCAUUGUUUCUAGUUGGUCUUAUAUGGUGACUUUAGAAUGCACACUAAAAAUGUGUGGACGUGUAUGUAUGCAUGGUGGUUGUGCCUUUGUUUAUAUGAUUUUCCAAUGAACAAAUUUGCUUAUCCAUUGCACUUGAGUUAAGAUUGAAGUAUUGAUAUUCUAAUGAUAAGUCUUUGGCUUUCCCUUUAAAUUCUUGAUUAAGGUUUUGAUCUUUUGAAUGAUUGAUGUGUGUACAAAUGUACAGGUAACUUUAAUUGAGUUUUUUGGCCUUCACUCAAAUCUAUCUAUACUCGAAUUUGUCAAUUGACACUUAAAAUUUAUUAUCUGACCUUUGAUUGAAGAGUGAAUAUCAUCUGAGUGCAUUAAAUUCUUUUUAGGGAGAGUCCAGCUUAUAGUCCAUUAGCAGUACAUUAUAUGUCACUUUUUUUUUUUUUUUUUAUAGUUUUUGUCACUUUUUUGACUUUAUAUCACUUUUUAUUUUAUUUUAUGUCUUUUUUACAAGUGUAUGCACUCUUUUAAUUACAAACAUAUUUUCAAUCGUCUGAUUGUAUUAAAUUCUUUUUUGUCCACCUUAUAGUUCAUUGAUAGUGCACUAUAUGUCACUUUUUUUUAGUUUUUGUCACUUUUUUGACUAUGUGUCACUUUUUAUUUUAUUUUAUGUCACUUUUCCAAGUAUAUGCACUCUUUUAGUUAUAAACACGUUUUCAAUCAUCUGAGUGCAUUAAAUUCUUUUUUGUCCAGCUUCUAGUCCAUUGACAGUGCACUAUAUAUCACAUUUUUUUAGUUUUUGUCACUUUUUUUACUCUGUGUCACUUUUUUUUUGUUUGUAACUUUAUGUCACUUUUCUAAAUGUAUGCACUUUUUUAGUUACAAACAUGUCUUCAAUCAUUAUAAUAUUUUUGAAAUGUGUAUGUUCUAGACUUUUAUAAUGCUUGUACUUCUUCUUGAAUUUUAUUUUAAUUGUUUUUUUUUUGUAGGUAAUCCCUCAAUGCUGUUGGUUUAAGGGAAAAGUGACAUUGUUAUCCCACAUGAGGUGAUAACAGAUUUGAAUGAAAAAUUUUGUCCAUAUCAAAGGAUUUUAUUCAAGAAUACAUGCUUUGGUGCCUUCAUUGAUUUGAAGGAAAUAAUCUUGCAACCACAAUAGAUACACCAGUUGCUGCUUAGACAAGUUAAGCAGCCAAAUUCAAAUGAAUUGUGGUUUCAUAUUUGUGAUAAAUUGGUGAUAUUUUCAAUCAAAGAGUUUUGUUUGAUAUCAGGGCUUAAGUGUACUGGAAAUGGUGAUCUAACUCGAUAUAGAAUGAAAAGUUAUUUAAAAAAACAAUACUUCAAAGAUCACGAAUGUGUUGCAACAAAAGAGGUUCAAGAAGUGUUUUUAAAUUUGCCUACUCACACUGUAGAUAAAGAUGUUGUGGAUAUAAGCAUAGUUUAUUUGAUUACAUCCUUCCUUUUUGGUAUAUUCUAUCAUAAGGGAGUUGAUGACUCAUUUUUUUGCCUUGUGGAGUCUGAGAAUUUAAAUUCUUUUCCAUGGGGUAUAGAAAUUUUUAAUAUGACUCUAUCAUCCCUAAAGAGUGCAUUUAAUCAGAAAAUGAAGAAUAUUUUUAUGGAAAAAAAGUUUUUGGAGUAUAGAUUGAAUGGCUUCCUAGUUUUUUUUUCAAGUAUGAAUUAAUGAAACAAUUCCUACUAUUGCACGGAAAAAAUACUGUAUUAAGCAUGAAUCUCAGCGUCCUUGAAUGUUGAGUUGGAGUAGCAAUCAACAUGUGACAUCUGUGGGGUUAAGGAAGACCAUUUUUGAUUUGAUUAAAGUAAGUUUUUUACCCUUUUAUUGUUAAUAUUAUGUCUUUAGUUUAUCUUUUGUUGUUAUUAAUAUGAUUAUGUAUCUUUCAAUUAAAAGUGAAUCAAAUUGUGCCUCUUGAGGCUGAGAAGGGAGAAGAGUAUGUUGUUGAUUUAUUUGUUGAAGGUUUGGAUGGUGAACAGGAUGAUGAUAAUUUUGAGCAUCCUAUUGUUCGCCUGAAAAAGUUAAUAGAUGAAGGAAAAAUAAAAUCUGUUGAUCAAGCUGAAAGGUCUACAAAAAAGAAAAACAAAGGAAAUAUUGAUGAGGUUUGUGGGUAUUUUUCUUUUUAUUAUUUUCUGUUCACCAUGCUGGAAGUUUUUUCAAAUAUUCUUAUUAUUUUGCAUUCUUUUCAGCAAGUCCAGCAAUCAAAUGAAAAACUUUUAAGACGGCUAUCCGAGGUUGAACUGAAAUUUGUUUAAUCAAUGAUCUAAUUUUAAAAUGAAUCUCAAAUCUUGAAGUUAGAAUCCAAUCAAAUCCUAUUGAGAACCGGCUAAAAGAUGUUGAAGAAAGGGUUAAAAUGAAUGAAGAAGUGAUAGAGCGUCUACAAAUUUUGAAACGCAAAGUAGAGAAGAUUCUAGCUGAUAAUGAAGGCAUUUAAGAGUUAUUGAGUUUAGAAUUGAUACUUGCGACUUUUUGCUGAAUUUUGUUACUUUUUUAAGUUAUUGUCACUUUUUGAUGAUCUUUGUGACUUUUUUUGUAGGAUGGUGUGGAGCGUUUACCUGAUGAAAAAGACCAGGUGUUAGCUAUUAAUGAAGAAGAAAUGAAGGUGUUCAAGAGUUAUUGAGUUUAGAAUUCAUACUCGCGACUUUUUGUUGAAUUUUGUUACUUUUUUAAGUUAUUCACUUUUUGAUUAUCUUUGUAACUUUUUUUGUAGGAUGGUAUGGAGAGAUUACCUGAUGAAACGGACCAAAUGUUAGUGGGUAAUGAAGAACAAAUCAAUGUAUUCAAGAGUUAUUGAGUUUAGAAUUCAUACUUGCGACUUUUUGUUGAAUUUUGUUACCUUUUUAACUUAUUGUCAAUUUUUGAUUAUCUUUGUGACUUUUUUUUGUAGGAUGGUGUGGAGAGUUUACCUGAUGAAAUAGACCAGGUGUAUAAUGACUUCCCUAGUUUUUAUUUAGGUAUUGAGUUUGAAUUGAGUUGUGGGAAAAAAGAUGUAGAGGUGCCUGUCAGAAAAAGUGAGAAGUCAGUUGAAAAAAGUGAUAAGGCAGUGGGAAAAAGUCUCAGGGCAGUGGUAAAAAGUGAUAAGGCGGUCGAGAUGAAUUUGAAUGAAGAAAUAGAAUUUCAUGAAAAUGAUUGGUUAAGAGUUGAUGAUAUUGUUGCUUGUAGUUUAAGAAAAAAUCAAGAAGUACUUGUGUUUUCAUUCUAUCAUCUUUUUCGUCAUAAUUUAUGUAUAUUUUUACGUUAAUAUAAUUUGAGUUUGUGUUAUUGUUCAUGUCCCAGGAUAUUCCAUCACCAUCUAAUAAAGGCAGAAUUGAAUUGUUUGAGAAGGUUGAAUUGAAAGAUGAUGUUUGGGAGAAUGUUGUGGAAGUCACGGCUGCAAUUGAAGCUAAAACUGAAAUUGAAAUUGAAGAGUGAAAUGUUGAAACCAUUGAUAUUGAUGAUGUGACCCCAAACAUGCAUAUGAAAAGACAAAAGAAACCCGGAGUGUUUUUUCAGUCCCCCUAGGUCAAUGAAUUUGAUUCUACAUUCGAGGACUAAGAAACGUGUUGUUAAAGGUACUUUUGUAUUCCCGGUUGGUGUUGGACCUCCGAUGGCACAUGAUGUUAAUGCCUUUGAGCUUUGGUUUAAUAAGGGAUUGUAAAGAAAAAUAAGUUGUUACUAAUAUAUGUUGUUUGUGAAUUUUUUCUAGUACAAUAACUUUCAUGAGACUUUUUCCAUUUUAUUAUGUAGGAAAAAACAUUUCAAUGAUGAAAAUUCCGUCAUCAAUCCAUGCUUUUAUUUUAGUGACAUUGCAAUCUCUACAAAACAAUGGUAGUAUGAGUUGUUUACUCCAAAUGAAUGUUUGGAAGAUACAGUAAGUUAUUUUAUAUGUUGGUGUUUUUAAGAUUAUUUUGUUUAAUUUUUAUUACUAUUGUUGAUUUUAUCAUUUUUUUUUUGUAUCAUAUUGAUGUGUGUUUCUAUUAUUUAAGAAAGUUGUUAAGAUAUGGAGAAAGGAUAAACAUAAAGGCUACAGCCACAGAUUUUUCGUUUGAUAGCCAAAUGAGAGGUCUUUAUGCCGACUUUUGCCACGAUAAGUCAGCUCUAAAAUGCAGACUUCUCUUCUUUCAUCUGUUAUUGAGUUGUAUAUGUCGUGCAACACAAAUUGGAGCCUUGUUGACCAUGUGCUUAUUCCAAUUAGAAUGUCCGAUUCACCUCAUUGGAUUUUGUGUCAUUUCGACAUUCAACAUAUGUAUCUUAAUGUAUAUAAUUCGUACAACAAGGUUGUGAGAAAGACAUUGGUACUUGAGGCGAUUAACCAUUUUCUGAUAUUAUUCCUCAUCUUCUCUUUCAUACUGACUUCUCUGAGGGAAAGGGCAUUUCAGAAGAAGAAGCUUUGAAACCAUUAGUUGUAAAAAUGGUUCCAAAACUUCCACAACAAAAUAAUGGAUAAGUUUAUUUCUAAAGAUUUUUUUUUUCAUCUGACAUUCUAGUAUAUAAUUAUCUAAAAUACUUUUCACUAUUUUAUGCAGUGGAGAUUGUGGAAUUUAUGUAAUUAAGUAUGCCUAGUACUUCAUUAAUGAAAUGUUAAAUGAGAUACCAAAGUCUUUUAAUGUUCCACAUCUUAGAAGAAAUUUGGCAGCUCAAUUAUAUGCUUAUGGAAAGAAGAAGCAAGGAGAUGAAUAUGAUACAAAUAAUGAAUAGGUGUUAAAGGAGAUGAAGUAGCUAUACCCUGAAAAGUAGGUGAUUUUCAAGAAGUGAAGAAACAUGUCUUGUUUUUGUAAUGAUGUGUCUUGAUUUGUAAUGACUGAUUUGAUUGGGUUGGUAGUUGAUGUUUUGUAUAUAAUGACUGAUCUAGGGAAAAGUGGCAAUGUCAAUGGUGGUAGACAACUUCAAUUGUUAAUGACUGAUUUGUUAGAACGUGUUUUUUCUUUUACAACAUCAACGGAGCAGGGAUAUUGGU
Molecule: long non-coding RNA, 60570 nt
Filed under: Olea europaea (common olive)
Lineage: Eukaryota; Viridiplantae; Streptophyta; Magnoliopsida; Lamiales; Oleaceae
Description: long non-coding RNA (OEUR_LNC001948)
Source: RNAcentral